This 51205-nucleotide long non-coding RNA is filed under the name Brassica napus (rape). Its description in RNAcentral is "long non-coding RNA (BNAP_LNC012668)". Lineage: Eukaryota; Viridiplantae; Streptophyta; Magnoliopsida; Brassicales; Brassicaceae. The record is from RNAcentral.
UAACAAUAAUAUUAGUGACAAUUAACUUGUCACUGCCGGAAAUACUGAAAGAAGGUAAGAUUCUUUAUUAUCACCAUGUAACCGUGGUGGUGGUGUGAGAUGUCUCAGAGGGCUUUGGUGACAACGGCAUGGAUAGCGUCUGCAAGGUGCGGUACAGUCUUCGAGCUCAGACCAGCCAUACUUAUCCUCCCGUCGGAUGUCAUGUAGAUGUGGUACUCUUUAGUCAUGUAGGAGACUUGAGCUGGGUUUAGCCCUGUGAAGGUAAACAUACCGAUCUGUUUGAUGAUGUGAGUCCAGUCUCCAGGCGUGCCUGUCACAUUAUUUCAAUGUUACUUAACAGUGUGAUUUGCUGUUUCCCUAUGAUAAUAUACAAUCACAUAGGACCUUUACCUCGAGCACGUAAUGCCUCGAAAAGCUGUUUCCUCAUGCUGAUGAUACGAUCAGCCAUGGCUUUCAGUUCCAGAGUCCAUUCGUUGAACAAGUUCCUGUCACGGAGGAUUACAGCAACGAUGGAUGCACCAUGGAUCGGAGGGUUUGAGUACAUUGGCCUUAUUACAAGUUUCAGUUGGCUCUCAACUCUUCCCGCUACAUCUGCUGCUUUGCAUACCUACAAGCAAGCCCUUUAUUGUCAUAUUUCGAAAAGACAGUAACUCACAGCAGCACCACAAAUCCUGAGAUUUUAUUUAUUAAAUUGAGUCUUACAAUGCUGAGAGCUCCAACACGUUCUCCAUAGAGUCCCAUGUUCUUUGCAUAACUCUGAGCAACGAGCAAUUCUCCUCCAUCAGCAACAAACAUCCUAAUUGGUUUCGCAUCUGUAUCCAGACUUCCACUCGCAAAGCCCUUCAAUGAGAAAAGAGAUAAGACGAGUAUUACCAUUUAUCGAGAGCAGAAAUGGUUUAAACAUCAGCUGGUCCUAUACAACAACAAAAGGUUCCAGAGAGCAGGUGUACCUGAUAAGCACUAUCAAAGAAUGGCAUCAAUCCUUUGGAACGCAUCAACUUUCUGAUUUGCUCCCAUUGUUCAAGGGUUGGAUCAACACCAGUUGGGUUAUGAGCACAGGCAUGGAGAAGCACUAUCGAACCCUGUGGAGCAGCACCAAGGUCUUCUAAUAAACCUGUGAAUAGAAAAAGAAGAAGAAGAAAGGGUUAGAGUUGACCAGCUUAACAACUUUGAAAAGAUUAUGAGAUUUCUCACCUUGAAAGUUCAACCCACGUGUUGAUGGAUCAUAGUAGCGGUAAGUUUUCACUGACAAACCAGCAAGGGUGAAAAUUUUCGGAUGGUUUCCCCAUGUUGGCUGAGGAAUAUAAAUUGUUUUCUGGAAGAAAAAAAGAAGAUCUCAAAUUUAUAUGAAUGUUUAUUAGGAUGAUGGAAUUCAAUCAGACGUGAAAAAAAAAAUAUACUUUAAGCAUAUCUACCUGAUGAUAAUGCCUGGCCAAAAACUCCCCUCCAACUCUCAGGGAACCAGUACCAGACAAACACUCCACGGUUGUAACCCGAUUCUCCCGAAUAGCAGGACUAAGUCACGUAUGAAAACACCAAUCAGAAAGAAACUGAUGAAAACAUAAAGGAUAAUCAGAGACAACACUGUACCUGUCAGCGCCUAAUAUGAGCUUAGCGCUUAACUUGUUGAACUCAACCAAUCCAACAAUGGGAAGAUACUCCUUGAUCCGUGACCUACAGAAUAAUCACACAACAACAUUAUCAUCAAGCACCCAUUCAUAAGGUUGUAUACUAACCAAAACUCAACCCAGAGGGAAAGNNNNNNNNNNNNNNNNNNNNNNNNNNNNNNNNNNNNNNNNNNNNNNNNNNNNNNNNNNNNNNNNNNNNNNNNNNNNNNNNNNNNNAAAAAAAAAAAAAAAAAAAAAAAAAAUUCCAACAAGACAUAACACCAUUAGAGGAAAGAGCAGAGACAAGCUUCACUAAUUAUAUUACCUCAGUUCGGUAAGCACCAACUCCCAAAUUCAGCUUGAUUGGGCUAGGGUCUUUGUUAUAUGCAAUUGUCACCUGUUCAAAACAAGAAUAUAUAUCUCAGAGCUGAUAACAAAUAACACAUGUUUCUAAAUUUUCCAAUAAUCAUCCAUGAAAAAAAAAACGAGUAAUUAAGUAAAAUUAUAUCUGUUCUGCUAAUUAAAAAAAAAAAAAAGCACAAACAUCAACGCUUCUGAUAAUACAUAACCUAAGCUUCUAAAAUUUUCAAAUAACUAUCGAUGAUAAGCUUCUAACAUUAUAUCUGUUGUACGCAUUAACCAAAGCCAAAAUCAGUAGAUCAAACAUCAAAUUCUCUCAAUCCAUAUAUCAUCGUGACACCAUCGAGAUCGCACUAAUCAACACCCGAUCCAGAAUCACAAAACAAGCUAGAAACAUCAAAUGCGUACAACAACAAACACAUCCAAAAUCAGCGUCGAAUACGUUUUAUCUAUAUACACAUACAAAUACAUCAAAGGAGGAGAAGGAGAAGGUACCCCGAGAAUAGCAUCCUCGGGAGCUUGAACAAGAUGAGCGAAAACAGAACCUCCCGCGCCUCCCGACGUAGGCGAGGCGAAAACGGAGCUCACGCGAUCCGCAUCUGUCCCGGCGGUGAGGUGACGGAGGAGAGCGCCGAUCCUGCGAUCGCUCGGCGACGACGAUGAAGAGAAGUCGUUAGUUUUCAUUUUUCUUUCGAUUUGUUGUGUAUGACUGAAUACGAAUUAGCUUCAUUUCGUUCCCUUAUUAAUAACAGUUUGGAUUUUUCAUUUUUUUUUUUUACAUAAUCCAAAGAUGGUGGUUGCCACGUAGGGUUUCGCAUAAAGUUGCGUGCCCGCGUUUACGUUUGAUAUUAUGAUAAGGGACGGACCAUCAUCGUCAUCAAAGAUAAUACAUUAAAAAGUCUUUGUAAGAUUAUCCUUAAAAUCCGGCAAGAAAUUAAAAAAAAUUCAAAAAGUACUUCCAAAAAUAGGGUUAAAAUUCACAUUUUAACUGAGAAAGCAAAAUUAGCUUCGUUUUAUUUGACUAUUAAUUGUUUUCUUUCAAACAUUAGUUUUCAGAUCUCAAGUGAAACUUCUUAAUCAUAUUCAUUAUAUUUUUUAUUAUAGUGGUUUUCGUUAAUUAGUUUAUCGUUAAAUUUCUCCGAUUUAAACUCUUUGGACAUUUAAAUUAACGUAAUCAUUUGUUAUAAAAAUUUGAAAAAAAAAUCUAGUUUAGUAACAAAAACCUUAUAUGUUUGAAAUGAUCAGUGUUUAGCUUUGUGUUCAUUAGAAGAGCAUAGUAGAAAAAAUUUACGAUGACGUAUAUAUGAGCUACAACUUUAUUGGAUUUUGUCAACGAGUAUAACUGGACAAGAUUAAGAUCUGGUUUAAUUUAUUUAGAUAUGUAUUAUGACAAAAAUGUUUUCGAGUUCGUUGGAAUGUUGAAGCUUGCUUCAUUAGAAUAUAGAUGAUAGAAAUUCCAUUAUAGAUUUAAAAAAAAAAAAAGGUGUUAUAUACGUCCCUUCAAGAAUUCGCUUAAUUAAUUAAGUUGAUAGCUCAAAUUUAAUAUGAUUUUUAGAUCUUCAUUUUAGAUGAUUGUGAUAAAUUUAAAUUUGGAUUAUAUAUAUAUGGAACCGUUUAGGUAAUGCCAGAAACAAAAUUACAAACUUAAGGCUACUGUUCAAAGGGAAGCUUUCGAUCUGAAGUCCUGUAAAAUAUAUAUACUGUUUUAAAGGUUAUCGGAGUUGUUCAUACAUAUAUACUUAGUUGAUACCGACAUUUUCUUGCAUUAGUUCAGAAUUAAAAUCAUAUGUUCUAGUAUAUAUACCUGAUCGUAUAAUGCACCGUCUUCGGUUAGGUGCAAGGACGAAUCUAUAAGUAAAUCUUAGUGGGGUACUGGUUAAAAACUUAAAAUAUAUAGAAUCGAUUACUACGUACAAUAAGAAUUAUUUUAUAAGUUAUCUAAUAAAUUCUUCUGAGUGUACAUUAUAAGAUUAUAAUAAUAUUAAAACAUAAUUUACCGGAUGUAUAUAUCAAAUAUGUGAACCCAAUUUGCCUCUCUUUGCGUCCAGUCAUGGUUAGGUGUUGAUGGUCCACUUUUGACAAGGUCUAAUACUUUUUUACGGUUAUGUCUUUCUCGUAGUGGAAGUGGCUCUUGGGUUUGGCAUACGGAUGUUGAUGUUUUUACAUCUUAAUGAUGAAGAUCCAAUUCAUUGGAUUAUCGAUGGCUUCAUUGAGAUCAUUAUAAUCUGUUGGCUUUGGAACUUCAUCUGGUUUUAAAUAAAUUCUAGAUGCUAAAUUAGUCUCAUAGUCUUCGUUUUUGUAGUGGGAGUUUUUAACAAACUUAGUUAUAUAAAUAGAAUCUUUCAACUCUGAACUAUUACAUAACGCAACUUAAUAAAGAUCUAUUCAAUUAUAAACUGUCGAUUUUAGUUUUCGACCGAAUAAAUUAUAUGGAUCUUUAGAUUUAAUUAUUUUGAUCAUAACAAGAAACCAUAAAUGCUGAAAAUGAUACCUGGGAACUUAAAUUGCUUACACGACAGUGUAAGUGUUAAUUGGAUGUUUGUGAUGUAAUAUUGCAACGGCUCAUAUCAUGGCGUGUUUGAGCUGUAAGUUUGUACCUCGCUUGAGCUCUAAAUAUCCUCCUUCCUCUUAUUCCACAAAAUUCGAGUUUCUAUAGAUUAGUACGCCUUGCGAGGUAAUCCAACAUGGUAGCUAGUAACUAACAAUUACUCUCUCCGUUUCAAAAAAAUCUAUAUUUUAGAAAAAAAAUCUCCUUCAAAAAGAUAUGUGUUUGACAUUUUCAAAUAAAUUAAUUGCAAAUCGUAAACUUCAAAAAACAUAAUACUCCCUAUCCGAAAGUAAGAUUUUUUAGAUUUUUUUUCUAGUUCCACAAAGAUAGAUUUUCUAUAUUGUUAAGGUAAUUUUUUAUACUUUUGAGGAACAUUAAUUGAGAAUAUUUGAAUUGAUUAAAUUUCAUUGGUGGAAAGUUAUUGGAAAGUGUAUAAUAAAGUAAAAAAUAAAUUAAAUUAUAAACAUUUAUUAAAUUCUUAAUAAGCGUGCAUAUUCUAGAAAUCUUACUUUCGGGAAUAGAGGGAGUAGUGUUUAUAACAAAAUUAUUGAUUAAAAAUUAUUGGUUAAAAAUUAUUGGUUAAAAAUUAUAACGGAAAAUAAUGUACUGGUAGCUAAAAUUUGAUAUAUUUUCUUAAUAAAUGUGAAAAACUUAAAACAUAUAUCAUUCUGAAACGGAUAGAGUAUUUAAUCUGAUUUUCUUAACCAAAAAAUAAAAUAAAUUAUUUAAUCUGAAUUUACCUCCAAUUUCUGUUUCAAAAACCCUACCGCCUAUAGUCAUCGAGUAUAAUAAGUAACAACUGGAUUUUAAGAAGUGAGAGCAAUGUAUUUGCAUGAAAAUUAUUUUGGCGGUUCAUGUUUGACAAAUUAAAAUCACUAUCCAACUAAGUUCCCACACAGAAAUCAAUAGAAAUUAUUGUAUACAAACUUAUCUAAUAAUUAUUUCGAGUAAAACUAACAAUGGAUCUAGAAAUCGGAAAUAAUUUACCUUUUGCAAAAUGUUACUACGUAAAUAAAUACAUAUCUGACGUGGUCAGUUACGUUUUAGCUAUAUCAAGUGCUGUUUGUGGGUGUUUCUUCUUCCAGCAACAAUGAUGCGCUGGAUCGUGUGGCUCACAUGAAAUGCCUUUUGUGUUCAACCCAGUUCCUAGGUACUCCCUCUGUUUCAUUAUAAAUGUUGUUUUAGGUUUCGAUACACGGAUUAAGAAAACAAUCAAUUUUGUACAUUUCCUAUAAAAAAUACUAUUACCUAUACACCUAGCCAUAUUUCAACCAAUAGAAAAAUAAAUUUUACAUUGAAAAUCGAAAACGACACUUGUUUUGUAACGAAAAAAAUUCUCUAAAACGACACUUAAUAUGAAACGGUGGGAAUAUAAGAAAAGAAGGGAUUCACAUAGGCUAGGAAUAUUCUAUAAAUAUUUUAUUAUAUUAAUAUUUUUUUGUUCAAAAUAUCACAAUAAAAAUUUGAAUCAAUUGUUGGACUUAUUUAAGUAUAUGGAAAAUGCUUUAUGAAAUUUUCCUAAACAUUUUUUCUUGAUAUACUACUCUUUGAAAAUUUAAUAAGAUAUGUGGUUUUAGCAUUAGUUUGUUUUUUCAUACUGUGACCCAUACAUUUAUGAAUAAAGUAUCCAAAUUGAAACUAAUCAAUAACUAUCAUGGAUAAUACUCAAUUUGGCUAAAAAAAACUAAAUAGCAUAUCAAUACUUACUAGCAAAUUUGAUUAGCAUGUCAAAUAAUAACUAACUUUAGUAUAUAAAAUAUUUUCAAAAUAGCACAUCAAAAUAAUUAAAUAUCUUAUAAUUAAUACUAGAUGCAGUUUUGUUUUUUUUCUAUAGACUAUGGUUUACAAAUUACGUACAAUUGAUAUUAGCCUAGGUAUUCUACUGAAAGUUAUACUAAUUAAGACAUAAUUCACUACAAGAAAACAGCGGCAUACUGAGGGAAAAAAUCGUCGGUAUGUCGUCGGAAUAACGCUAUUCCGAUGACAUACCGACGAAAAAAGUCUUCGGAAAUAACUCCUCGGAAAUUCAUCUUUCCUCGGAAAUCCCUCAGAAAUUUCCGACGGAAUUCCGAGGAAACCCUAUUUCCGAGGACCACAAGUUCGUCGGAAAUUCCUCGGAAUAUUCCGAGGAAGAUGUCGUCGGAAUAUUCCGAGGGAUAAACUUCCUCGGAAUAUUUCCAAAAUUAAAAAAAAAAUUAUAAAUUUACUUUUUUAAAUUGAAAUUCGAAAAUAUAAAAUUAAAAUUGAAAUAGAAAACAUAUUUAAAAUACAAAAAAUAAUAAAAUAGUUUUUAUAAAUAAAAAAAAUGUUUUAUAAAUACAAAAUUAGUUUAGUACAUAUGAAAUCAUCUUUUUAUAAAUACAAAAUAGUUUUUAUAAAUACAAAAAAUAAUAAAAUAGUGUUUAUAAAUCAAAAAAUGUUUUAUAAAUACAAAAUUAGUUUUAUAAAUAUAAAUAUUUUUAUAGAUAUGAAAUCAUCUUUUUAUAAAUACAAAAUAGUUUUUAUAAAUACAAAAAACAAUAAAAUAGUGUUUUUAAAUCAAAAAAAAUAUUUUAUAAAUACAAAAUUAAUUUUAAAAUAUGAAAUCAUCUUUUAUAAAUCCAAAAAUCGAAUUUAUAUACAAAGAACGGUUUGUAUAUUUAAAAAUAGUUUUUAUAAAUACAAAAAUAAAAAAAAUAGUGUUUAUAAAUCAAAAAAAUGUUUUAUAAAUACAAAAUUAGUUUUAAUAAAUAUAAAUAUUUUAAUAAAUAUGAAAUCAUCUUUUAUAAAUCCAAAAAUCGAAUUAUAUACAAAAAACGUUUUGUAAAAUCGAAUUUAUAUAGAAAAAAGGUUUUGUAAAUACAAAAAUAAUGAACAAUUUUUAAAAAAAGUUCUAAAUCAAUUCAACACAACCAAAUCACAAUUCUAAACCUAUUACACAACAAAUCACAAUCCUACCCAAUCACCCUAACAAAAAUCUAUCAAAAACCUUCUAAAAUCAUCAAAUCUACUUAAAAACCUAACAAAUAGGACCUAAGAGAGUGGGAUAGGGUCCUUACAUGAUUUGUAAGGGAAUGGAAAGGAUUCGCCGGAGAGAUCGUCGCGAGAGAAGGUGGAGAACGCCGGAAGGAGAGAGAGAUCGCCGGAGAGGAAGAAGAGAGAAAUGGGGAAGAAGAGAGAAAUGGGGAAGAAGAUGCGUUUCAAGUUUAUAAAACCUUGGGUCCGACGGAUAUUUUCCGUCGGAAUUCCCUCAGUAUUUAUUAUCCCAUCGAUCGAUCAAGGAUAUCAAGUGUUCCUCGGAAUUUCCUCGGAAUAUUCCGAGGAAAUUCUGAGGAACUAGUGUUUGGGGUUUCAAAAUCUCGAAUGUUUUUUUAUAAACGGAUCGAUCGAUGUAUUUAUGUCCAAAAACGCAUCGAUCGAUCACUAAGAUGGACCAAAGCGUAACAAUGUGAUCGAUCGAUGAGAUUAUCCCAUCGAUCGAUCAAGGAUAUCAAGUGUUCCUCGGAAUUUCCUCGGAAUAUUCCGAGGAAAUUCUGAGGAACUAGUGUUUGGGGUUUCAAAAUCUCGAAUGUUUUUUUAUAAACGGAUCGAUCGAUGGAUUUAUGUCCAAAAACGCAUCGAUCGAUCACUAAGAUGGACCAAAGCGUAACAAUGUGAUCGAUCGAUGAGUAUAUGUCCAAAAACGCAUCGAUCGAUCACUAGUUCGUCAGAAUUUCCUCGGAAUAUUCCGACGGAUUGAUGUUUCCUCGGAAUUCCGUCGGUAUAUUCCGAGGAAAUUCCUCGGAAAAUUCCGAGGAUUUCAUUUUCCGUCGGAAUGUCCGUCAGAAUACCGCUGUUUUCUUGUAGUGAUUCACCAGUGAAUGAUUUGUCUAUACCUGCAUGUGCAGUGCAUAUAUAUUGUAUCAACUUCAAGCUUAUCUCAACAAUAUAUAGAAAUACCAAAUCGGCAGGAAUUUUCGAUAGUUUAGUCAAAGCUUGAAAUUAAUUAGGAAAUCCAGUUUUUCUUUUUCUUUUAAUUCGUCUAUUGUGCUACGGCUUUUAGUUUUUUUAGGUCAGUGCGCCAUUUUAAUUGUCUUGACCAACACUGUAUUGACUUUUCGCAAACAGUAACGGGUCUGAAGAAAUUUAUAAAGGUAACGAUAAGUCGAUAACUAAAUAUAUAAUAAGUUUAACAUAUGUAUAUAUACAGUUAAAACGACAAGAAAAUUAAAACAAACUUUUCUUGCAAAUAUACUGUACGUUCACUCAUAUAUUAUAGUCUCCUUUUUAUAAGAUAAUUUCUAAUAAUCUUUAUAUUGUAAUCCGUCGUUGUUUGUAUGACUUCCAAAUAACCGGCUGAAUUAUCAUAAUUAUUAUUUUUGUUUGUUAAACCUGGAUAUUCAGAUCACCUAGGUUACAAGUCACCCCAAACAUCCUUUGAAUCAUAUCUACCACAGCUACUCUCAAAAUAGAUGCAUGGACAUAUUGAUAUAUUAUAAAUAUGAACAUGUUGGGAUUUUAGAACAAUUUUGGAGAAUUGUGAUUAUGGAGAAAAAUUAAACACAAGUUAUGAUGUAGAUAUGUUUAUACGUAAAGCCUAUAUAGAGAACUUUUAGUUAAAUAAUGGCGUCGAAAUUGAAUUAAUUUUAUACUUACUUAAGUACCACUGAAGUUGCGGUAAGAAAAUAAAAGUUGCGGUAAGAAAUAUAUAUAUAUAAAUAAAUGAUCUAAAAUAUACUUAUAACUCGAUCAAUUUUUACAUUGCCUCGUAAUUGCCGAUUAGUGUAGUACUCCUAUUAAAGAUAUUUUUUCGGUAAUUCAUACUAAGGAUUGGACACACAUAAACCACAAACGAGUACUCCCAUGUUUUGGUGGAAAAUUGGAGUUAAUUGAUAUCAUUGUGGCUUGAGGGUUUACGUUGCCACCAUAAUUACGACCUAGUAAUAUCAUCAUUAGUUAGAAAAUGACAUAUACGAGGUAACGAACACACACAUAUGCAUGCAUUAUCAUUAUGCGUUUUAAGUAAAAAUAUAAUGAUUAGCGGAAGAAAAGCUGAGGUGAGAUUAUACGUGGUUCAUGAAAUUUAAAACUCGAACAUCGGAAGUACCACACUAAUAUCCCCUGGUUUCACCUACAAUAUUCGUUGCUCCUCGAUCAGUUUAACCUUACGUGGCUUAUAAUAGUUGCUACUAUAUAUUUAUAACCCUUCAAAACGAUUUUUUUAACUUGAAAAAAGUGUUCUCUUUUUCGUUUUUCAAAAUAUUACUUGUUUCUUACAUUUUUAAUGAAAAGAUUACGUGUCCGAAUCCAUCAGGAAUAGUUUUCUUGGUUAAGUGACAUACUAUUGAGGUUCUAUUAUUUGUUUGCUUGUGUUCUUAUGUUUACGUGUUAGUGUUUAUAUGAAACUACAAUCUUUAAUAUUUAAACAAACCUAUUUUGUAGAUCUUCAACACAAAGAAAACAAAUACAAACGAAAUUAGGAUCCCAAACUGGCUAUAUGAAACAGUCAAAUAGUGGCCGUGUGAUUUUGAUGAGAUUAUAUAUGGAUCCAAAAUUCUAUGGCGGUAUGAGUUAUAUUGUUUUGCGUACAAAUAUUAUAAUAAAAUGUUUGGACUGUCCGGUAAACUAAACAGAUCUGGUAAGUGAUUUGAAAGUCGUCUAAGAGCUAACACAUCUCAGCAUAGUAAACCGUACGCAAGUGUAUCUGCGUCCAAAAACUACUAGUUAGCUCGAAUGCUUAUAAGGAAUUUUAAUGGCCCACAGAGAAUGCGUGUAUAAUUAAACACGAACAGCCAAUAUCUGAAUAGUCUUAUAUGGCCCACGAUGCAAAUCAACAGGCAAUAUAAUUACCACUCUUUACUUGAUUAAUGAGCUUUUAAAUUAAAUCUGCUCCAUGUAUUUUUUUUUUUUAACCACUCCAUGGUAUCUGGUGUUCACCUUCAGCUGAAGAGCGAUUAUCACCUACCAUUUUUUAUAAUUAAUAGAUUUCGGAUCUUCAAUAUAUAAUUGUUUUAGAUUUAGAGUAAAUAAUUGACAAUACAUGUGAAUACGAACAUCAUUAAUAUAUAUGAUAAACCUAAUAUUUCUGGGUUAAUAAAGUGAGCUAUCUUCACAGAACGCUUACACCCUUUUUAUUUACUAAAUAUGACUUUCGACAAAUAGUGUCUUCAUAUUAGCCAUCGAUCGUUGUUAAUAGAUGAAUCAAUAAUCAAUGUUUCCGACAGAGAACUUAUAUGUAUAUAUUGGCUUACCAACUAAAAUAAGCUAUCAUAGGCCAAGGGAUUGUGUUUCCCAGCUAAAAUAUCGAGUUAAAAGUUAUGUAUUUUGUAAAUGAAGAUCAAACACACUCGAAGGAUUUAAAUUUUUGAAGGAUUUGUAAGAUAUAUGGGUGAUACACAGAUCCAUGGAACUGAGUAUAUAAACACAUAUAUAUGUAUCAGAUAGAUAUGAUGAUGUUGGGGUGUGUGUAAGAAGUAAAAAUCCAAGAGUUAAAAAGCGGAGAGAGAGAAGGUUGAUGUGGUUGUCGAGAUGCUAACAGAGAGGCACAUGCAAAGCUUAAAUGAUGGUAUCGCUGGUGGCCAAAGCAUCUCCUUAAAGCUGUUCUUUUUCAUCUAAGUCCUCUUUUUUUAUUUGCCUUUUCUCUCUCUAUACAUUUAUAUAACUAAGUGAUUGUGUUUAUAACCUUUUCAAUAUAUACCAUGUGUAUACAAACUUACUAAUGUGCAUUUGUGCACGUAUGCAAACCUAAAAGUGUAUCAAUUAAUUAUAUACGAAAUCUCCUUUCUCUGGUUACAACCCCUGUUCUAAAAAUAGGCGGCCGUCUCCACGUUACGUCACACGUCCAUUUCGAUUUAUGCAAAAUAGGUUAAAAAAAUUGGAUAUCCAAUUUUCUCUGCCUAGACCGCCUAAAUGACCGCCUAGCCGCCGCCUAAUCUAUUUUUUUUAAUUUUUUAAUUUUAUUUUUAAUAAUAUUUUUAUUUAUUUAUUUGAUCUAAAAUUUUAUAAAUAUCAUUUAUAUUCAUAAUUUUGAUGAAAAUUCCACUAUAUUAAGUUUAUAUAUUCUAUAUAUUUGUGUGUUUUAUAUAAUCUUAAACAUAAAAAUGUAUUAAUGUUAUACACAGUUAAAGAUUAACUUUUAUAACAUAGUAAACAAUCUAAUUCUGCCCCGCAUAAUUUCCGAUUAAUCUUUGAUUUUCUCCCAACCGUCCGACUAGCGCCUAACGCGUUCCCGAACAGGGGUUACAGCUAAGUCUGAGGAUAAUAUUUCAAAAGUGUGUGAAUCUUGAUUUAUACGGUCUACAUGAAAUGUUUGUUUGGUUGAAGAUAGGUUCCUUGAAAAUUAGCUAGAAACUUGGAUACUAUAUAUGUCAUGUAACAUUGCAUCUAAAUGUUCAAAGUGGGCCACUAACACGUUUUAGUUUAUACAUCACAAUUUGUCAAACCACAACUAACUGCGUCAAACAAGAAAAUUUGAUCUUAUGUACCUGGCAAAAGUAAGUUGCACAUAAGUUCAAAAAAAAAAGUAAGUUGCACAUAUAUCUCACUCGGUGGGAAGGAAAAGGAGAUUAAUAUUUUUCCGAUAUAGACUAUAGUAACAAACCUAAAUUUCUAUAGAAAUAACAAUAUUAUAAAACUUCAAAGCCGACAAAAACUAGGAAAGAAAUAAGAAUACAAUUUACCGAAGAAAGAAUAUAAUUAAAAAAAAACAGUAUACCAAGGAGAGAGAAAUGUGCUAUAAAGGAUAAAGCCCCACUAAAGUCUGAAGCUAUCACGCAUCUUAAUGUAUAAUAUUAUUUUCUAAGAGGCAAUACAAAUUUACCUGAUGCAGUAUUAUUUUCACCAAGUUUUGUAUUAAUAUACGUUUGUAAAAUGUUCAACACAACUUGAUGAUGCUCACGAGUCACUUCUAGAUAUAUUCGUGUGUGUGUGCUAAUACGAGCAUAUUUAAAAAAAAACGUAUUAGCUGUCGAACAGUUAAAUCCAAAUCUAUAUUAUACCUACGGAUUUGAUAAACAAAUACAGAGUCAACGACUCAACGUCCAACUAAUUGAUGUAUAUAUAUCGAAUAUGUAAAGGUAUAAAGAAAAACAAAGUUGGAUUUUUUUUAUAUAUUUUUGUUAAACCUCGCUUACAUCAUAGGGUAUCCCAUUAGGUUGGUGUACCAUGUGAUGAUUCUACCACCGAAAAAGCAAAAAUCAAUUAAAAAUACAUCUGUGUACUUACAAAUAUAUAUAUAUAACAAUGAAAGAUUUAACACAUCUUUAUGUACAAAAACAUGGUGUACGUGAUAAUGUGAACCAAAUCAUUCUGAUUUUUACUGCAGUAAAAUUUUGAAAUGGGGGAAAAAAGAAUGUUAGGGUUAAUAAUCUUAUCAUUUAUUGAGGAAAUGGGCUCGUCUAGGGUAACAUCACCUACCCAUACAAUAUUAUCAUGCUUUUAGGGCUUUUAUUUUUUCUCUCUGGUCCCACAAUCUUCUCCACUCUCACUUCUUUCACGUCUCCACACGCUCCAAUCUCUCCCGUCCUCCGUGCCGACGCUCCCUCUCCGAUCCGCGCCACGGCCGAAACGUGCCCACACGCAAAAAGAAAGUCCCGUGAUAACCACGCGCGCGCCUAGGGUUUUCUUUUUUUUUCGGACACAACAAAUGGGUGGUGAUAAGAACCGCAGAUUACGGCCACGUGGAGGUCUAUAGUUGGUACCUUGUGCCCCAUCCUAUCACACCGAAACGUCAAUAUAUAAAUUUUCAACGUAAAAAAGAUGGGUUUCCUUAUGUGAAGAAAACACUGAAAUCUUGUGAAAAUAAAUUAUUUUAUCUUGUUGUUUAAUUUUCGGAUACCUAUUACCCUAAUGAAAGCUCUUUACAUUAAUGCUAAGAUAUUUUCACUAAAAUAAUAAAAUAUUGCAUAGAUAGAAAUAUAUAUUUUUUAACUUUUGACCUAUACAGAUACAUAUACGUGUACACAAUAUAUAGAAAGGUACUCGUGUAAAUGGAAAUAGGCAGACCAGAUGGUGACAUGGCAGUGUCAUGUUCCACAGAUGAGUUGUUUUUUUUUAUUUUUAAUAUAAAUUAAUUUUAUGGCAAUAAAGUAUUAAUUUUAUUAAAAAACACUCAUUUCGACGCAAUAAAACCCUCAUUUCAAGGAUAAGAAAGCUUCGGUUUCCUCUCUCUUCUUUUCUCAACAGUCUCUCUCUCUAAGCCAAAGAAAAUAAAAGUCCCCCUUUCUCUCUCUCAGGAAACGUCGCCUUAGGGUUUCAGGAAAAUUCGCAGUCAAAUUCUACUCAUCUCCCGAAGAAUCAAUCAUCGAAACUUAUCUAAUCCUCUUAUCGUCAAGCUUCUCCAUCUCCCGGUACGGUUUUCUUCGCUUGCCGCUUAAGAUCGAGCACGAAUCUCGCAUCUUGAUUCUCUGGUUCGGAUUCCCUUCAGGUGCGUGUUUCCGACAUGAAUCUCUGAUCUGUUUGAUUUUUAGGUUUAGGACAUGGCUAGAUCUUGUGGGAAGAGAUUUUAGCUUGACUUGUAGCUGACUUCGUGUUUUCUUUGUCCGAGGGAUCUUCACUGUUCAUUUAUACGUCUCUUCGAUGUUCUUACUUUUUUUUUGGUUUUUUUUUGUUUCUUCACGGACUAUUCACGUGCGGGUUAGAUCUGACCCGUAUUAAUUGGUGGGUCUUCGUUAUCUUUGUUAAUCUCAUGCGGUUAAUUUUAAGUGUCUUAUUAUCUGUUAAUUGGCUUCUAAAUAAUUUGAUUUAAAAACCCUAAAUUACUCAGAUUAAUUAAUCUUUACGUUUCUAAGUCGGAAAAAUAUUGAAACGGGUCAGUUCUAAAGUUUUUUUUUUUCUGGUCAUGUAGACAAAGGUUACAGCUUUGGGUGUUCCCGUGUCUGAAAACCCUAAUUUUUAGGUCGGUGUUUAAAUAUAGAUUAAUGUUGAAUUUAAAAUGUUAAACUAUAAUUCACUUCGAACGUAUGAAGAAUUUUGUUCAUGAUUUUAUGUAGAACUUAGAGUUCAAAGUUUUUAAUUUUCAUGGAACUGUUGAGUUAAAUGGAUGGUUGUUAUGAAUGUUAUUUUAUGUGGAUAUUCAUGGAAUAUGCUUGGAACAUCAUGAUUAUAUGUAAACUUCAAUUAAUUUAUAGUUAUAAUUGAUGUUAUAUAUAUGGAGCGUUAAGAUUUUGAAGCGUUGGAUCUCUUUGCAUGCACAACCAUUUGAUCAUCAAGCACAAUUAUACAGUUUUGAUUUGUUACUUAAAUCUUUCGGUUUGGUGAAGUUAAGAAAAAUUAUCGUGUGUAACAGCUCUAGGUACGUAGAGAGUAUAAUGGUGGAAGUUAAUCAUCAUUAAGGCAUAUGAUCUCCUUCAAGCAAAUCAAUGAGUUCCUCCAUUAAGAUCAACUCGAUAUCAAUAGAUCUCGCAGGCGCUGCCAACGAGAUUAAUAUGGUAAAAUGUGAUCACUUCUCCAUACGGUGAGCCUACUAUAUAUUGACCUUAUGUUAUCAACCUUCCUUGUUUAAACUAUGAUCAUACUUUCCUUUACUUUGAUAGAUAUUAUUAUAUGUAUUUAUAUGAUGUGAUCACUUCCAAAUGCAUACACUAUUAGUAAGAUACAAGAUGAAGUGACAUGAAUAUAUCGAGUUUUCUUCUUAUAAUUUAAUGCAGUGGAUUCGUAGCUGAAACGCGUGAGAGAGACGAUAGAAAAUGUUGGCCAUUCUCAGAAGAGAGUGUUACUUUGGAGAAUCAACAAAGCUAUCCCCUUCCUUCUUUAUCUGUUCCAAAGUUUAGAUGGUGGCGUUGUAUGAGUUGCAUCAAAGAUAUCAAUGCUGAUGGGAUAAAGGGUAUACUUACUUAUUUCCAAUAUUUUGUAUAAGUGUUCUAUACUAGCUAGAGAGAAAGGCUGCUUGAACUUAUACAUUUAAAUGGUUGUUUUAAAAUUUAGGACUGCAUGCAAACUCAACAAGUAUAAGCGGGGAAAAGCUAGAUGAAACCUCUUCGGUUAUCCCUAGUCAAAGCAAAUUGAAUCCACUAACAAUCACCGAUCAGGAGAAAGAAAGGGACAAUGAUAUUGCAGGUAAUUAGAAUCUGCUUGUUUUAGUUUCAUAAUUCAAACCAACCGUAAUAAUUUUGUAUUAUCAUUUUUUCAGGUAGUGCUGUUGUGGAGAAUGAGAAUGUAAACUGUGAAAGAGCUCAUAAGGAUGAUCAGACAGGUAACAUUCUUCUUUGGUAGCAAAUUAACGUGUGCAGAUGAAAUAAAACUAACUUUGUGAAGCUGAAACAGUUACAGCUACUACGUUAGUCAAGAAAGUUCAUCCUCCAUCUAUGGAUGCUUCUACUGUUAGAAACAAGAUCAGAAAGCUCGCGAGUCGAGAACAAGUAGGCAACAAGAGAUCUAAAGUAAGCAAAUCAUCAACGGAUGCCAGCAGCUGGAAAGAGAAGCAAAACGUGACAACUUUUGCAUCAUCAGAGAUAGCUGGUGUGGUUGAGGAUACGCCUCCCAAGGCAAUCAAGAAUCGUUAUAAAGACGACAAGGUGUCAUCAGAGAGUAUAAAUCUUGGGUUUCAGCGUAGGAAAACUCGCAAGGUUCGUCUACUCAGCGAGCUGAUAGUUGAUCCCGAGACCAAAGCUAAUGGUGGUAGUAACAAUAUAAGACAAGAAGAGUCUUCUUCUUCUUCGAAGGCUAGAGGUAGAAAAAGAAAGGUACCACCUGAAAACAACUAUGUCAGCCGGAAACUAAGCAAAGGCGGCGCCACUUCUGAUCAAGGUGAUAGUGAUUCAGCAGAUAGUGGGUUUGACAGAGAUCUUAUUAAGGGUAAGAAGAAGAACAGAAGAUUCCAGGUUGUUGACGAGUUUGUUCCAUCACUUCCUUCUCAAGAGGGAGUCCAUGAGAAUGAUGCAGCAGGUUCUAGUAAGAGUGCUUUGUCCAAGGAUAAAGACUCGGUUCCUCAGAGAGCAGAGAAGAAGCUCAAGAAGAAGAAAAACAAGCCUGUAAUAAAGGAUAACGAGAAGAGUAGCCUGAUCAGUUUUAGUUCCAUAAAUACAAGCUCCCAAUCUACUAGAGAUUUAAUGAAUGAAGAAAGGGUUGGCAGUUCACUUGACGAUCACCGUUUGGCUGCAGAAGGGUAUUUCAGAAAACCUAUCCCUCCUCAGGUUAAUAAUGAUAGGCCGGUUACUUCUUUGCAUGUGCCAGAGAAUGCACAUGUUAGGCCAAGUGAUGUAGAAGCAAACAGUCUUCAAGAGUUUGGUUCCUCUUCUAGACCAAACACAGGUGGAUGGUUGAGAACUGGAGUGGAUGCUGUUGACUUCAGCACCACCAACAACAACAACACAGAUAAAGGCUUUGCAGAUCUAUUUUCUGUGCUGCAAAAGGUAAAUGCUUUGUUCUUACAUAUCUACCAGAGGUCAUUAGCUCAACUAGAAAGGAUCUUGCCUAUUGUGUUAAGAGGUACCCAGUUCGAGUGACCAGAGUGACCGCUGGGUACGAAACUAAUAUUAUACUGUGGUUUCAGUCCCGACCCUCCUGGUAUUAAAAAAAUGGUUUUGUUCUCAGAUGACUUUAGCUAAAGCUCUAUAUUGUUGUGUCUUCCAAAUUAGUGUAUUAAUGGAAUCAUUUUACUUGGCAGGAAGCUUCUGGUGCAGACAGAAAGGGGAAGACAGUAAUGGUCCAAGAACAUCAUGAACCUCUCGGAAGCCAAAGCCAUGAUAGAAAUGAGAACACACCUGAAGAGGCAAACGAUGAUAUCACUUUGGAGAUAGCCGAGCUCAUGGCUAAAAACCAAUACGAGAGGUGUCUUCCAGACAAAGAAGAUGACGUUAGCAACAAGCAACCACCACAAGAAGAAACGCCACACAGAUCCAAGAACGCUCUCCUGAUUGAUCUUAACGAAACCUAUGAUAACGAGACUUCACUGGAGGAUACCAACAACAACACAUCAAAACCGCAGCAGAAACCUCUAGACUUCUUCCCAUUAAGACAGCCUUACGUGCCUUCUUCUCCGUUUGGGAUCUUUCCUCCUACUCAAGAGAACCGAUCUAACUCCAUCCGGUUUUCUUCUGGUCACAACAACCCCCAGUGGCUUGGGAAUGUGCCAGCAAUGGCUAACCAGCAUCCAUCUUCCUCCUCAUAUAGAGUAUUACGUGGGUGUAACACAUGCUACCAGAGUGUUCCUCAUCAGUACAGAGAACCAGCUUCUUCUCAUCAGAUCUGGCCACCUUCCAUUGUGCAACGACCACAGUGUCAUCAUCAGACACCAGUUUCUUCUUUCAACAUGGAUCAGUCAACGAGGCUUGGCCCCAGUAAUAACAAUACGUGGAACCUCAACUUUGUUACCCCCAACGGGAAGCAAAGAUGUGAUGGUAAUAGAUCAAUGGACGCCUUCUCUAACGAAAGCUCUAUACCGGCAUUGAAUCUGCUCAGCCUUAUGGAUCCUAGGUUGAGAUCAUCAAACGCUCCCGUUGACCACCAUGGGAACGUUAAUUUCACUAGAAGACAUUUUCCACCGUCUAAGGAACGUAUAGGGCUUGAAACAGGGGACUCUGGUAAGACAGCUUACCCAAGUAAACAGUCUCCUUUCAAUUUUUACAGCAACGGGUUCGCACCUGAGGCUUCCCGGAAGAGUUUCCCUAUCGGUCCACCGCUUGGUACGUCGUCGUUUUCGUUUCAAAACGCACAAGCAGCUCCAUGGAGUCAUCAUCAUCAUCAUCAUCAUCAAGAGAAGAUAAACAAGAGCAAAGACACUGUGUUUCCUGGAAGCAACGACCAAGGGAGAUUCCAGCUUCUCAGGGGAUCUAACUCCAUGAAGCUCCCUUUGAAAGAAAUGAACCAAAAGAGGAAAGCAGAGAGCUCCAGUAACGCCUCUGCGUUGCCUCCUAAGAACAGUUCAGGGUCCUUUGAGUGCAUCGUGAAUAGAAACCCUGCUGAUUUCACCGUUGCUGAACCUGGGAAUGUUUACAUGUUAACGAGUGAAAAUCUUAAGGUGGUAAGAAAACGUGCACCCUACAAGACAAAAGCAAGUUUGUGUAAAGAGGAUGCAAUGAAGCAGACUAAGAAGACCGUUGGUCCAGUUACAGAAAAUGCCUAAAGAUUAAUACAAAAUGGAAGAGGUUUCUUCAGGUAAAUUGCUAUGCCUAUAGAACUGAGUUUUAUUUAAGUUUAGUUACUAGAAGUCUAGAACAGAGAUUAUUCUUGGUCUCCUUCAGUUCUAACAAAACAUGGGUUUCUCUUUGUGAAACAGACGGUGAGAGGAAGAGGGAUGCAAAGAGGCGCACCAGUCCUGUUGAAGUCAAUAAUAAGUCAGAAAGGAAACAGUAAAGCGAAUCUUCUCAGUUACUUCCUGUUCUUGGAUACACAUCUCUUUUUUUUCCUUGUGUUUGAUCACUCAUGCUUGGUAACAUUUAGUGUGUGUAUAUACCUUAAAUUACUGUACUACCCUUGAUAGGUCUUGUUUUUCUUAAGAUAUUUUUGUUGCGCUCUUUUAUUUAUACAGUCCCUAUUUAUACCGCUGGCAUUAUCUUUUUAUUUUUCGGUCUAAAUGUUACCGUUACGACCGGUAUGAGUUGUCUUUUUACAGUGUCAGCUUUAACAACGUCACAGGAAAACCUAAAAAUAACUCUUCUAAAGUUUUUCCACUUAUCUGAAGAAAACUCAAGCAAGUUAAUUUUAAAUUUACAUCUUAAUUUUUGUUUGCAAAGUAAUUGUGAAUUAACUACAGGUAGGUGGUGGACUUGUGGUUUAAAGUCACUAGUAUAAGUUUAAUUUGGAAGAUGUAAAUUCACGCCUUAAAUAUGGUAUUCUCAACGGUUGGCCAUGUAUAUGGGUUAGAUUAUGAACUACAAGUUUGGACUUUCUAAAAUUUAUCAAGAAACAAUAUUCAAUUAAAAUGCCAAGAGUUGUUGAACAAUAUGCGAAAAACAAAAACAAAAAAUUUUGGUCAAGAAAUAUGCUAAAUUUAUAAACCCUAAAAAUUACUAAAGAAAUGGUAAAAGGUAGGAAAUAUCUAUUGUUACUCAAAGAAGUUGGAUAUUCGUUGGCUCUAUUUGGAUGUGAAUGGAAGGUGGGAGUGGAGAGCAGUGAGAAAUUAUAUAUGGUUUAAAGUUUAAAGCGAUCGAGAGUGGGGAGAAAGUUAAGAUGGUUUCAUCAAAUGUAACAUGACAAGAAAGGAAAGGUGCACAGAAAAAUUCUAAAUUAAGCAAUGAUGUAUCCACUGUGGUUUUUUGUAAAAACGCAUGAAGAGCUUUUAGCUUGACUUAUAGCUGACUUCGUGUUUUCUUUGUCCGAGGGCUCUUCACUGUUCAUUUAUACGUCUCUUCGAUGUUCUUACUUUUUUUUUGGUUUUUUUGUUUCUUCACGGACUAUUCACGUGCGGGUUAGAUCUGACCCGUAUUAAUUGGUGGGUCUUUGUUAUCUUUGUUAAUCUCAUGCGGUUAAUUUUAAGUGUCUUAUUAUCUGUUAAUUGACUUCUAAAUAAUUUGAUUUAAAACCCUAAAUUACUCAGAUAAAUAAUCUUUACGUUUCUAAGUCGGAAAAAUAUUGAAACGGGUCAGUUCUAAAGUUUUUUUAAAUGGUCAUGUAGACAAAGGUUACAGCUUUGGGUGUUCCCGUGUCUGAAAACCCUAAUUUUUUGGUCGCUGUUUAAAUAUAGAAUUUAAAAUGUUAAACUAUAAUUCACUUCGAACGUAUGAAGAAUUUUGUUUGUGAUUUUAUGUAGAACUUAGAGUUUAAAUUUUUUAAUUUUCAUGGAACUGAAGAGUUAAAUGGAUGGUUGUUAUGAAUGUUAUUUUAUGUGGAUAUUCAUGGAAUGUACUUGGAACAUCAUGAUUAUAUGUAAACUUUAAUUAAUUUAUAUAUGGAGCGUUAAGAUUUUGAAGCGUUGGAUCUCUUUGCAUGCACAAGCAUUUGAUCAUCAAGCACAAAUAUACAGUUUUGAUUUGUUACUUAAAUCUUUCGGUUUUGUGAAGUUAAGAAAAAUUAUCGUGUGUAACAGCUCUAGGUACGUAGAGAGUAUAAUGGUGGAAGUUAAUCAUCAUUAAGGCAUAUAAUCUCCUUCAAGCAAAUCAAUGAGUUCCUCCAUUAAGAUCAACUCGAUAUCAAUAGAUCUCGCAGGCGCUGCCAACGAGAUUAAUAUGGUAAAAUGUGAUCACUUCUCCAUACGGUGAGCCUACUAUAUAUUGACAUUAUGUUAUCAACCUUCCUUGUUUAAACUAUGAUCAUAUUUUCCUUUACUUUGAUAGAUAUUAUAUGUAUUUAUAUCACUUCCUAAUGCAUACACUAUUAGUAAGAUACAAGAUGAAAUGACAUGAAUAUAUCGAGUUUUCUUCUUAUAAUUCAAUGCAGUGGAUUCGUAGCUGAAACGCGUGAGAGAGACCAUAGAAAAUGUUGGCCAUUCUCAGAAGAGAGUGUUACUUUGGGGAAUCAACAAAGCUAUCCCCUUCCUUCUUCAUCUGUUCCAAAGUUUAGAUGGUGGCGUUGUAUGAGCUGCAUCAAAGAUAUCAAUGCUGAUGGGAUAAAGGGUAUACUUACUUAUUUCCAAUAUUUUGUGUAAAUGUUCUAUACUAGCUAGAGAGAAAGGCUGCUUGAACAUUUAAAUGGUUGUUUUAAGAUUUAGGACUGCAUGCAAACUCAACAAGUAUAAGCGGGGAAAAGCUAGAUGAAACCUCUUCGGUUAUCCCUAGUCAAAGCAAAUUGAAUCCACUAAUUAUCACCGAUCAGGAGAAAGAAAGGAACAAUGAUAUUGCAGGUAAUUAGAAUCUGCUUGUUUUAGUUUCAUAAUUCAAACCAACCGUAAUAAUUUUUGUAUUAUCAUUUUUUCAGGUAGUGCUGUUGUGGAGAAUGAGAAUGUAAACUGUGAAAGAUCUCAGAAGGAUGAUCAGACAGGUAAUAUAGUCUUCUCUGGUCUAGCAAAUUAAAGCGUGCAGAUGAAAUAAAACUAACUUUGUGAAGCUGAAACAGUUGCAGCUACUACGUUAGUCAAGAAAGUUCAUCCUCCAUCUAUGGAUGCUUCUACUGUUAGAAACAAGAUCAGAAAGCUUGCGAGUCGAGAACAAGUAGGCAACAAGAGAUCUAAAGUAAGCAACUCAUCAACGGAUACUAGCAGCUGGAAAGAGAAACAAAACGUGACAACUUUUGCAUCAUCAGAGAUAGCUGGUGUGGUUGAUGAUACACCACCUAAGGCAAUCAAGAAUCGUCAUAAAGACGACAAGGUGUCAUCAGAGAGUAUAAAUCUUGGGUUCCAGCGUAGGAAAACUCGCAAGGUUCGUCUACUCAGCGAGCUGAUAGUUGACCCCGAGACCAAAGCUACUGGUGGUAGUAACAAUAUAAGACAAGAAGAGUCUUCUUCUUCUUCGAAGGCUAGAGGUAGAAAAAGAAAGGUACCACCUGAAAACAACUAUGUCAGCCGGAAACUAAGCAAAGGCGGCGCAACUUCUGAUCAAGGUGAUAGUGAUUCAGCAGAUAGUGGGUUUGACAGAGAUCUUAUUAAGGGUAAGAAGAAGAACAGAAGAUUCCAGGUUGUUGACGAGUUUGUACCAUCACUUCCUUCUCAAGAGGGAGUCCAUGAGAAUGAUGCAGCAGGUCCUAGUAAGAGUGCUUUAUCCAAGGAUAAAGAUUCGGUUCCUCAUAGAACAGAGAAGAAGCUCAAGAAGAAGAAAAACAAGCCUGUAAUGGAUAACGGUUUUAGUUCUGGUCCUUCCAUAAACACAAGCUCUCAAUCUACUAGAGAUUUAUUGAAUGAGGAAAGGGUUGGUAACUCACUUGACGACCGUUUGGCUGCAGAAGGGUAUUUCAGAAAACCUAUCCCUCCUCAGGUUAAUAAUGAUAGGCCGGUCACUUCUUUGCAUGUGCCAGAGAAUGCACAUGCGAGGCAAAGAGAUGCAGAAGCAAGCAGUCUUCAAGAGUUUGGUUCCUCUUCUAGACCAAACACAGGUGGAUGGUUGAGAACUGGAGUGGAUGCUGUUGACUUCAGCAGCACCACCAACAACAAUACAGAUAAAGGCUUUGCAGAUCUAUUUUCUGUGCUGCAAAAGGUAAAUGCUUUGUUCUUACAUAUCUACCAGAGGUCAUUAGCUCAACUGGAAAGGACCCUGGCCAUUGUGUCAGAGGUGCCCAAACGAAACUAAUAUUAUACUGUGGUUUCAGUCCCGACCCUCCUGGUAUUAAAAAAUGGUUUUGUUCUUACAUGACUUUAGUUAGAGCUCUAUAUUGUUGUGUCUUCCAAAUUAGUGUAUUAAUGGAAUCAUUUUACUUGGCAGGAAGCUUCUGGUGCAGACAGAAAGGGGAAGACAGUAAUGGUCCAAGAACAUCAUGAACCACUCGGAAGCCAAAGCCAUGAUAGAAAUGAGAACACACCUGAAGAGGCAAACGAUGAUAUCACCUUGGAGAUAGCCGAACUCAUGGCCAAAAACCAAUACGAGAGGUGUCUUCCAGACGAAGAAGAUGACGUAAGCAACAAGAAACCACCACCACAAGAAGAGACACCACACAGAUCCAAGAACGCUCUCCUGAUUGAUCUUAACGAAACCUAUGAUAACGAGACCUCACUGGAGGAUAACAACAACAACACAUCAAGACCGCAGCAGAAACCUCUGGACUUCUUCCCAUUAAGACAGCCUUACGUGCCUUCUUCUCCGUUUGGGAUCUUUCCUCCUCCUACUCAAGAGAACCGAUCUAACUCCAUCCGGUUUUCUUCUGGUCACAACAACCCCCAGUGGCUUGGGAAUGUGCCAGCAAUGGCUAACCAGCAUCCAUCUUCCUCCUCAUAUAGAGUGUUACGUGGGUGUAACACGUGCUACCAGAGUGUUCCUCAUCAGUACAGAGAACCAGCUUCUUCUCAUCAGAUCUGGCCACCUUCCAUUGUGCAACGACCACAGUGUCAUCAUCAUCAGACACCAGUUUCUUCUUUCAACAUGGAUCAGUCAACGAGGCUUGGUCCCACCAAUAACAAUACGUGGAACCUCAACUUUGUUACCCCCAACGGGAAGCAAAGAUGUGAUGGUAAUAGAUCAAUGGACGCUAAUGAGAGCUCUAUACCUGCAUUGAAUCUGCUCAGCCUUAUGGAUCCUAGGUUGAGAUCAUCAAACGCUCCCGUUGACCACCAUGGGAACGCUAAUUUCACUAGAAGGCACUUUCCACCGUCUAAGGAACGUAUAGGGAUUGAAACAGGGGACUCUAGUAAGACAGCUUACCCAAGUAAACAGUCUCCUUUCAAUUUCUACAGCAACGGAUACGCACCUGAGGCUUCCCGGAAGAGUUUCCCUAUCGGUCCACCACUUGGUACGUCGUCGUUUUCGUUUCAAAGUGCACAAGCAGCUCCAUGGAGUCAUCAUCAUCAUCAUCAAGAGCAGAUAAACAAGAGCAAAGACGCGGUGUUUCCUGGCAGCAAUGACCAAGGGAGAUUCCAGAUUCUCAGGGGAUCUAACUCCGUGAAGCUCCCUUUGAAGGAAAUGAACCAAAAGAGGAAAGCAGAGAGCUCCAGUAACGCCUCUGCGUUGCCUCCUAAGAACAGUUCAGCGUCCUUCGUGUGCAGCGUGAAUAGAAACCCUGCUGAUUUCACCGUUGCUGAACCUGGGAAUGUUUACAUGUUAACGAGUGAGAAUCUCAAGGUGGUAAGAAAACGUGCACCCUACAAGACAAAAGCAAGCUUGUGUAAGGAGGAUGCAAUGAAGCAGAGUAAGAAGACAGUUGGUCCAGUUACAGAAAAUGCCUAAAGAUUAAUACAAAAUGGAAGAGGUUUCUUCAGGUAAAUUGCUAUGCCUAUAGAACUGAGUUUUAUUUAAGUUUAGUUACUAGAAGUCUAGAACAGAGAUUAUUCUUGGUCUCCUUCAGUUCUAACAAAACAUGGGUUUCUCUUUGUGAAACAGACGGUGAGAGGAAGAGGGAUGCAAAGAGGCGCACCAGUCCUGUUGAAGUCAAUAAUAAGUCAGAAAGGAAACAGUAAAGCGAAUCUUCUCAGUUACUUCCUGUUCUUGGAUACACAUCUCUUUUUUUUCCUUGUGUUUGAUCACUCAUGCUUGGUAACAUUUAGUGUGUGUAUAUACCUUAAAUUACUGUACUACCCUUGAUAGGUCUUGUUUUUCUUAAGAUAUUUUUGUUGCGCUCUUUUAUUUAUACAGUCCCUAUUUAUACCGCUGGCAUUAUCUUUUUAUUUUUCGGUCUAAAUGUUACCGUUACGACCGGUAUGAGUUGUCUUUUUACAGUGUCAGCUUUAACAACGUCACAGGAAAACCUAAAAAUAACUCUUCUAAAGUUUUUCCACUUAUCUGAAGAAAACUCAAGCAAGUUAAUUUUAAAUUUACAUCUUAAUUUUUGUUUGCAAAGUAAUUGUGAAUUAACUACAGGUAGGUGGUGGACUUGUGGUUUAAAGUCACUAGUAUAAGUUUAAUUUGGAAGAUGUAAAUUCACGCCUUAAAUAUGGUAUUCUCAACGGUUGGCCAUGUAUAUGGGUUAGAUUAUGAACUACAAGUUUGGACUUUCUAAAAUUUAUCAAGAAACAAUAUUCAAUUAAAAUGCCAAGAGUUGUUGAACAAUAUGCGAAAAACAAAAACAAAAAAUUUUGGUCAAGAAAUAUGCUAAAUUUAUAAACCCUAAAAAUUACUAAAGAAAUGGUAAAAGGUAGGAAAUAUCUAUUGUUACUCAAAGAAGUUGGAUAUUCGUUGGCUCUAUUUGGAUGUGAAUGGAAGGUGGGAGUGGAGAGCAGUGAGAAAUUAUAUAUGGUUUAAAGUUUAAAGCGAUCGAGAGUGGGGAGAAAGUUAAGAUGGUUUCAUCAAAUGUAACAUGACAAGAAAGGAAAGGUGCACAGAAAAAUUCUAAAUUAAGCAAUGAUGUAUCCACUGUGGUUUUUUGUAAAAACGCAUUUGGUGGAUCGCAAAGCUAAUCUGUGAGUAAUAGUCAUAAGAAGAUCUGGGUCAAGAACUUCGUAUAAUCCAAAGAUCUGGGUCAAGAACUAUAUUGUAGACUGAAAUUUCAAACUAUACAACUAAUAGAAGUUGUGGUGUGUAACAUAUGGGGAAAAAAUUAAAAGCAAUGAGAGUCAAAGAGUACUUGAAAUUGUCGGGAGAGAAGCGGACGGGGGCCUGCGAUGCAUCCCAGUCGGAUGCGUAACGGAUCUACAUAAUGAAAAGGCAGAAGUUGACAAAAAGUACAACUUCUCUCUUUUUAUUGAGAAAGAAGUGUUGGUUUUAAAGAGUGUGAAUCAUUAGUUAAAACUCAAAUAUAUAAGAUUGGUGCUAAUUAAUCACAUCACUGUAUUGAUGCUAAUUAACCACAUCACUGUAAAUUAUUUACACUAUAUAAUAACGUGAAUAACAUCUAUAAAUAUUGGAUGUAUAUACUAGAGUAUGAUGAAAUUUCAAGACUAAUAAAAUUAAGAAUUUGGCGAGGGUACGGUUAUGGACUUAACAAGUACUUAACAUUGGUAAUUGCUUAUUCAGAAACUGUUAAAUGGUACUAGAAUGAUUAAUUCAAUGUAGCUUAGGUGGUUACGACUCGAGAGUAUUGGUACCAUCAUUAACUCAUUGUAAAAGGCAAAACAAACCUUCUUCAAGUCAUUUCCUCCCUCGGCCAACCUAUAUUUAUAACUAAAGAGAUAUUCCUGCGGGACUGAGCCCUCAUGCCAUGUCGGUUCAGCUCUUGUAGGACCGACUUUUGAGUGUUGGUAGUUAUAAUUAAAGAGCUACUUGGCCCUGAUCCAUACAUUGCAUUUAGUAGUUAAUUGUGGACUGAUCUGCAAAAAAAAAACUGAAAAGGAAUAAGACAGAUUUAAAUAGAACAUAAAAUCAAAUUAAAUUCUCUAAACAAGCACCAAUUCGUCGGAUAAAAUCAUAGGGUGAAUUUGCUAGAUAAAAUUCUCAGAUUAUUUUGAAUUAUGUUUUCAAAUAAUUAGCACGUUCAAACCAAUAUUUUAUGUCAAUUUGAGAACUUUCGAUAAAAAUAGACGAAAUUUAAAAUUAAUUUACUAAAACCUUUCCACAUAUAGUUUUUGUUUAUUCGCCCAAAAAAUCAUCAUAUAAUUUCUUCAUCUGUAAAGUUCUUUUAGAAGAAUGCAAGACUCUUACGUUCAUUGGCUAUUAUAUGUUUUGAUGUCUAGACUUUGACGUAAAAUACUUCACAUUUGUGUAGAAAAAUAAGUAUGUUUUGAAUAUGUGAUGAUUUUAAUUCCUCCUGUAUCUCAAAUUAAUGGUAGUUCUCGUUAUUCUGCUUAACGAUUUUGGAUUCUGGAGUGACCAUAUAUUUCUGUUAAACAUUAGGUAUUAUUGAUAUGUUAGAUACCUCGUUAUUCCUUGUCAUGAUUCUAGCGAGAAGAUCAUGAUUUCUUAUAUCUUAAAAAUGACAAUCUGGAGAAACGCUAGAUUAAUUACACUAACCUGAAUAACAUCAAUAAAAUAAUGGAUGUAUAUAUUACAUCCUCGUUAAUUUGUAGGUUCGAAAUGUGCAUUAGUUAACACGUACAUUGUUUUUUCAUAAGUAACGCGUACAUUGUUUUUCUAAUAAUUAAUUAACACGUACAUUGUUGAUGUACGUUACUUUCUGAUAAUUAAAACAAUGCAGGUGGACGUGUUACGUAUGUCGUCAGGUGUUAAUUUUUAUUUAACAGUACCUUUGUUUACACCAAUUCUGAUUUUAUAGGAGAGCCAGAAUGUAGUGAUUUCUUUGGACCUAUAAUUUAUACAUGAUUCGUAUCAUUUGAUAAUUGAUUGAAGAGUUGUAAGACUUGCAAUAUCAAAACCAAGACAAGAUAUUAUAGGUUUUAGUAUAUAUGUUAAUUAUAUAGUACAGUACUAAAGCUAUAUAUAUAUAUAUAUAUAUAUAUGAAAUGACCUGGACAUGUUAGGUCUCUGUGACUGUGGAUUUGUCUCUCAGCUACUAAUCAGAGAAACCAUCACAUGUUAAUGCCAAUAGUUAGUCGGAAAACCAAACCAAGAAGAGGCAAAACACACGAGUUUUCUUAUUUCUAAAUUAAGUAUAAUCUCUUUCAUCAGACAAGAAUCAUAUGGUUAAUUGAACCUAUACCGACGCCUGAGAAGCUAUGAUUGAAAAUAAAGAUUUUUGCACUUGCAAAGACCAUUCUAGAGUUUACGAACCUAGGAGUUAACAUGUUUGCACACAUCUAUAUCUAUAAUGUACAUAAUAAGUAAUACUAUCAACAAACAAAAUAAUUAGAAGAAGCAAUAUAAAAGUUGGUUCGUUCGAAUUUCACAAGCGGGUUUGUUGCUAAUAAAUCAUCCGAACAGUUACAUCGUCGUUUAGGAUAAUUUAUGUAGGCAGAACGACUAUAUAAUAGUAUAUGAGAUCUCAUACUAUUACUGUAUACACAUAUAGGAGGCAGAGUCACAGAGACGAAGGCCCUGGCCCACUGGCCCACACUUCUUUAACAAAAGAACUACAAGCCCGUGACCCCCAAACUAGAUUUCCAGAUUUAUUUUAAUCUGACAUAAUAUCCACCGUUGGAGUUUACUUUCCUAUGUCCCACUCUGAGCCAGAUCCAACCGUCCAUAUUCCUCAAGGGUCGUCAAUAGGUGGCUUUUUCUUCCUCCUCUCGCUGCACACACUCCCUCCAGCGCCAGCGCCACCCCCCUCGCUACUUCCUCCGCCGGCGCCACCGCAAUUUCUUCGCCGGAAACUCCUUUUCUGUAGACGACGGCAAGUAUGCUUAUGGCGUAUUCUCUCCCUCUCCCUGCCAAUCUCGCCAUCACCGCCACCAUCGCCGGCACCGUCAUCGCCUGACCACGAACCUCCGCCGCGCCUUCCGCCGUCGUGCACAUGAGCUCAAGCGCAGCUAAAGCUCGCUCCAACUCAGUGAUCUCUAGUCCCGCCGCAGUUUCCACAACCGCUGGCGGCUCCCGCCUCAAAUCGCCACGUGGCGGUCAACUUCGGCGAGGCAGAGCGCGAGGAGGAUCUUGGUGACGUGUUUGGCAGUUACGAUGCUGUUGCUACGAAGGCAAGAGACGAGGCCUCGCAUGAGACCCGGAGGACAAGUCUGAAGAGCGAGGAGCUUGUUGGAUUCGGAGAGGGAUGUGACUUGUGAGGUGAAGCUCAGCGAUCUGGAAUGUUUCUUGGAGAGUUGUUGUGAUUGGAAGAGGCAGCGUAGGAGGAGUAACGGUGGAUGGAGUUUGAUCAAGGUGAUGAGGGAAGCGCCAUUGAGUGAAACUUUGAGAAGUGGAGGCUGAUGAGGAUGACGAGGAGGAAGUGGUAGUUUGCUUACGGCGAGGUUGCUGGUGAGGAGAGGUAGGACUGAGAACAGACUGUGUGCAGCGGCGGAAGAAGCCACAUGAGAAGAGAGGACGCGAUGGCGCGUGGGGUUUCGGUUUCUCGUUUGCCUUCAUCAUCACUCGAGAGAUUUCGAGUGAAGCAUGCAAAGCAAAGCGUCUCUUUUUAAAUAGUAAGAAAAUAAUUGGUUCGCACCAAAUUUGUCAGGCGUCAUACGUUUGUACUCUCCCUAACAUUAUACUCGUUAAUCAUAUAAACACUCUUAAAUUUUAAUAAUGUGUAUUUUUUUGUCAGCUUAAUAAUGUAUAUUAUAUAUAGAAUAUAGAACAUUGUCCAUGAAAAUAUAUUGUAAAUUCAAGGUAAUGAUUAAACUAUUUUUUUUUUACGUAUAAUAUAUUUGUAUUUUUAGUUAAAAUCAUAAUCUGAAAACGACAGAAGGCAGGAUGAUCUGGGUCCUUAACACAUAAAACUAGUCUGAAACACAGACAUAAUCUUUCUGCUACCCCAAAACGUUAAAAAGAAGCUUCUAUAAAUAUUUUGCUCAAAAAAACGAAGCUUCUAUAUAAACUUCAGAAGGUUCAGCGCAAAACUCUCGAAUGUGGCAAAGUGUUACAAACAAGAGUCUCUAUAAAGUACUUAUUUUCCAAAGCCUAACAACAAGAAGCAAGUUACUUAACCAAUGGUUAUUUUGCUAGUAGUACCAAAAAAAUCAUAUUGUACAAACUGUGAAAAAUAAUACCUUAAAAGGAUCCAACAAUCACCUCCAUUUUUCGCUUAGUUCUUUCUUCUUUGAAAGGAUCCAAGUGAUGUAUAUAGCUGCAACGAGUGCCACAAUCGUGAUCAAGAGAAGUGCGUAGCUGAAAUCAUCGGUAAGCGAGUCAUAGGUCUUUGAAGGAGCAAGCCUUGUGUAGAAGAGAUCUACUCCAUAAGCAAAGACGUGUGUUGUUGACUCUAGCUUGGCCGGAGCUGUUACUAUGCCUCUUAGACCUUCUACUUUGAGGGAGUGUGUGACGUAUGACUGGUGAAAUAUGACAAAGCUCAUUACAAUCCCACAAACUAAAACCAGGCACAUAAACCAAACAAAAGUAUGGACAAUGGGUAAGAGUGAACCUGAGGAAUGACGGGUAAUGAAUCCGUGAGAGGGAUGAUUCCUUCUUCUUUCUCAGCUUGCGAGGGGUUAAGUGUCCGGCGUGGAUCCACAAAUCGUUUACCAAGUGCCAAUAUCUCAUCAUUCAUUCAAAACAGUUUUUAGUAUCAGUUUUUCCAAUACAUAGAGGUAUUUUUAUAUAUGAUAUGUAAUCUGCAAACCUGAUCCCCGAUGGUACCAAUGAGAAGCUACAUUCUUAAAAGCUCUAGAUUUUGAAUCCAACAAUUAGCAGACUUGUGUAUCAUCGUCGUGUCUAAAGUUUCCAUUCAUCUUUGUUUGUUUCUGCCAAACCACCGACGUAACACCACCUAUCAUCUAAUCGUUUCUUAAUCUCAACUCUUACUAUCUUCGUCGUGUGACAUGCGAUACUUUUCACCAUUGUAAUUGUAAAAGCUUUCUCCUAAGCAUCCAAUUUCAAAAUUGCUCAAAAGCCUCUAGAAGAAAGAAACGACGACUAUGGCGGCAAUAAGGGUUUAGACCAGAAACGGAGUUCUCUGCUUCGAAGCAGGAGUCUAGGUACGAGUGGGAGCUUUUCAAGGAGAACGUUAGGCUCAGCCUCUUAAAGAGAACGCAAUGUUCUCUCUAAUCUCACAUCAACCACCAAUUAAGAAGAAUCACGUCGAGAGAAAAUGGAUGUAAAGCUUUCAUCAAACUUUAUCAUGAUGAGGAGCAGGUCGAUAGAAAUGGUGGUGGUGGAUAACCUUUGCUUGGAAUGCAAGCCAAAGGGGUUCUAGGGCUCAGGGAAAGGAAGAUGCAGAGUAAGAGUGGUAGGGCUUAAUUGGGAGUGUUGACUUGACUGUAUGGCAAACUUAGAGAUUCUGUGUAUCAAUGCUGGGAUUGAAGAUAAAGAACAUGGAUAUAGACGUGUAAGAGAAUAUCUAUCAAACCAUGCAUUUUUUUUUCCUUUCCAUUAUCUGUUCUUUUUCCGUUUUGUUGUCAGAUUUUUUUAAACGUCUUGUGAUCAUUCAUGUAUUGUUGUGUGUUCAAGUAUUUUGUGGAGUUGUAAGUUUGGGGAUCUAAUGAGCUUAAUUAAUUAUUUUCUAUAAUUGUUACAAGCAAAAGUCACUUAAUUGAGGAUCAUAUUUAUAUAGUUUCAUUCUUCAUUUUCGGUCUAAAUGUUAUCGUUAGAACCGGGACGAAUUGUCUUUUUACAGUGUCAGCUUUAUCAACGUAAUCGUAUAGAUCAAAGUAAUUGUUUUCUUAUAACAUAUCAGCAGUUGUCCUCCUAUUAAAUAGCUAGGCUUAUACAACUAACCGGGACCAGAAAUAACAGUGACUUGGAAUGCUGCGCCCUGUGAAGCCAUGUUUCCCACACCAUUUGGCCAUCAGGAAGGUUCCAGGCUCUUAACAUACUUCCUUGUGAUGAAAGCGUGAUAACAUCUGAAAUAAUAUGAAGCAAAGAAAAAAAUAAACAGAGUUCAAGACCGUGGCAGGUGAAAGCAAAUAUAGUGUUUGGUACAUGAUCCAACUCCUACAUUUUUCCAAGGCAAUAUCAACACCAUCGAUAGCAUCCUUUGUCCCGAGAACAUGCCGCCAAACUGCAGCAAAUUUGAAAAACAAAAUAAGAUUAAGAGACUCCAAGACUGAACAUGGAUAGCAAAAAAAUAAAAAAAUAAAAUGGAAAUCAAAUCACUAAAUCUUACAAAUGUCGCCAAGUCUGAGAUCAAGGGAAGCAACAACAUUCUCCUCGGUAGAGACGAUAACACGCUUUCUCCCAGUCUUCCGAGUGUGGAAUACUGCGUGCUUCACUUUCCCAAUGAACCGUUGGUGCAUACACAGUACAACAGAUCGCAUCUCAAUGGUAAUCGAAGUAUUACAUAACUGUCUAUGCUAAUGAGUUGUAAAAUACUUAAGUGACAGUUAAUACACUACAGAUUGGUGUAAUCUGAUCUGUGAAAACGAUAGUUGGAAGACCAGUAGUAGGUUUACGAGAAAAUUGGAUGAGAGUUACCAAUCCAUGAGGCCGAUCGACUCGAUCUUCGUAAAGAGAGAAAGAUACAAUUGCAAAUGAUAAGAAGAUGACAAGGAGGAGAGAAACUCUAAUCAUGACGACGAAUUCUCUGACCAGUCUUUUCUUCUGUUAGUGGUGGUACCAGCAGAUUUGGAGAGGGACUAGAGUUUUGAGCCUGGGAUUUUAAUUAAUGAACUUUAAUUUUAAUUUUAUUUUAUUCGCCUCACGACAACUAAUAUUUUAUCUUUCAUUGCUUUUGCUCCGAACGGUGUCGUUUAAGGUUAAACCCGUGAAAGCUCCUCUUCCUGCUCCCAGUUAACCUAGAAAUCAAAAGAUCCUCGAAUUCUCGAUCUGAAUAACCUUGACUUGACUACCAUUUUCUCAAGCCUCAUUUGAACUCCCAUGUCCAUGUGCGACACAGUACUUUAAAAAUAUCUGAGUAGUUAAUGUUUUUUAGUAGAUUAAGUGACAUUUCAUUAACCAAAAGAAAGUGUGUAUCUGAGUAGAUUAAUUGAAAUCUACUCAUAUUAACGUGUAAUUAACAUUUCUUUAAACAUAUCUGAGUAGAUUAGUGUUUUUUACUGUUUCUUAUCAACCAAAAUAAAGUGUGUAACUAUCUGAGUAGAUUAAUUGAAAUCUACUCAUAUGAACGUGUAAUUGACAUUUGUUUUAAAAUAUCUGAGCAAAUUUAUAUUUUUUCUAAUUUUUUUACUCGGAUAUCUUUAAACUUUAAAGUAGACCCUUAAAAUAUUUAAAAAUGUAUUUUUAAUGCCAAUUGGACUAGUAUUAAAAAAAAAAGACAUUUGGACUCUGAGAAAAAUAUUAUAUAUUUUAAAGUAUAUGAAAAUCAAAGUAAUAAUAUUAAAAAAAAUAACUAAAAUAAGUAAGCGAAACUAAUUGAAACCAAUAAAAUCCAUGAUAAAAAAAAAAACUAAUAAAAUCCAAGUGGACUAGUAUCCAUUAUUAAAACUCCCAUGGAUUCAUAUGAAAAAUAGCAAAACUUUUAAUAUAUUUAUAGUACUAUUAAUAAAAGUAAUAAAAAUGGAAAAAGUAGAUUGCUCAUCUUUCACAAUUAUAAAGACCUAUAUUUCAGUUAAAGAAGACUUAUAUAUUUGAACGUGCAAGGAGAUCUAACACACAUAAAACUUCAAAACAUUAAAACAUUGACAUAUAACUCAUGAAUUCUGUUGUUAAACUCCUCGCGUUCAUAUUUAUAUUCACAAUUUCUGCAGUUCGAUCGAGAGAAAUUGAAGAAAAUGUGAAAUUCUUCAAGGUACAUUGAUGUAUUAUAUUUAUAAACACCAAACUAAUAUUAUAUGUAUAAUAUCUUAUGGUACUCAAUAUAUUUUGUCAUAGUUAAAUGAAAAGGUCAUAUACGAUUGUGUGGAUAUACAUAAACAACCUUCGUUGAGUCACCCACUACUCCAUAACCAUAAAAUCCAGGUUUCAUUCUGUAAAAUGUUAUUCUUAUAUGUUUUUUCUUUUAAGAUUUUUAUUUUUAUAUUUGCAUUUAGAUUACAUUUGAUAUAUUUAAAAUAUUUUGAUUCUGAUUUUGAUUUUAUUUUAGAAUAUUUUUAAACAAAGCACUAUUUUCUGUUAAUUGUAAAUGAAAAGGUCAUAUAAUUAUUUUAACUAGUAUUUAAACAAAACACUAUUUUCUGUUAAUUGUAAAUUAAUUUUGUAUGGCUACAACAUUGUAUUAUAUAUAUAUUGAAUUUGGAAGAUUUUAAGUGACUUUAUAAAGUCAAAAUUUUGAAAUAUAUUCCAUAAAAUAAGUCUUUGUGUUUUUAUGUUAGUUUUAACUUGUAUUCUGUAUUAUUUGGAUUAAAUCUAAUAUAGUUUGAUUCACAUAAUAUACUUAUUGUGUAUCUAUCUAAUUUGAAUAGAUGGAACCAUCUUUUUCGAUACCUAACCCAAAAUAUAAAGGUAAAAAAGGAAAUAAAAUUAAAAGAACCAUCGACUGUCCAAAUGGAAUGGUUCCUAUACAAAGGAACACACAUGAAUAUGUUGCAAAUGGUAAAUAUUGGGCAGAAAAACAUUCUACUCCACUUACGGUCGAAAGCCAUGAAACACAUGUAAGUACAACUUUUGAAAUGGUUAAAUUUUGCAAAUAUCGAUAAUCUGAAAAAUUUAUGUUACAGAAACAGAAAUCUAUAAUCUGAUAUAUAUAUUUGAUAUAAAUUUGGAAUUUUGAAGUUUGCCGGAGUUAGAACACAAGAUAAAAGCCCUUACCAUGGUUUGGCUGCUUGGAUGAGUGUGCAUGAUUUGAACGUUAGUAACGACCAGAUUUCCUACACUGCCAUAUAUGUAGAAAGUGGAGUUAACAACAAAGUUAACUCUAUCCAAACUGGUUGGAUGGUAAAAUCAAUGUUGAUGCUAUUUAAUAAACCUUCUUACUUUAAAAUGUAGAAUACUUUAAUUAAUUUGAUGAUAUAUAUAUAGGUGAAUCCAAGUUUAUUUGGUGACAAUCGCACAUGGAGUUAUGGAUUUUGGAAGGUGAAUAUAUAUAUUAUACAUUAUUGCAUAGCAUAUUUCAAACCAUGGAUAAGUGUGUUAAUAGUAAUUUUCUUUGAUUUACAAGAUUGCUUUUCAUAUUCAUUAGGGAUAAGUAAUUGUAAAUUAUAAUUUUCUAAUUUUUCUUAAGUGAAACAUUACAAGUUUUUAUUCCUGAAUCUUCUUUCAAAAUAUUAAAUUAAUAUUAUAUUAAAAAUAUGCAUUCAAAGUAUAAAAAAUUAAACUAACAGUAACAAUACUAAAUGGAAUGAAUACUCAUCUUUUUAUGUUUAAAUGUUAAGCCAAACUAUUUGAAACAUAGUACUAGAUUUCACUCUUUUGAUUUUGUCUCGUAAAUUAUGUUUUUUUCCUAUUUGACUAACCAAACAAUUUAGUUAUUAUAAUUAUGCAGGUUAAUACUAAAUGAAAAAUAAAAAUAUGGACAAAAAAAUAAAAUAAAAAUAUGGACAGUGUUAUUAAUAUUUUAUAGUAUUUGAAAUAUAAAUAACUAACAAAUAUAUUCAUCAGUAAUUAAUUUAAUGCAUAGUUAUUCUUAUAGUAUAAUUUUUUAAAAGUCUUUUAAACUUUUAUGUACAUUAGCUUGAAUUAAUUGUCAAUUGUCAUCUAAGUUAUAUUGAUAUUUUCAAAUUCAAUAUUGUUAGGGUGCCAAUGGAGCAGGCUGUUAUAAUACAAUAUGUCCUGGUUUUGUUCAAGUGUCAAAAACUGAUCUUUUAAGUGCACCUUUUCCUUAUCCCGGCAAAGGACAAGGAGAAAGAGCAGUCUAUACUAGUAUUUUACAAGUAAGAUGAAUAUACUUAAAUUUAUGUUACUAACAUGUUUUCUAGUAGUUAAUAUGUGUGUAUUUUUGAAUAUAUUAAAGGAUAAAAUAACAGGAAAUUGGUGGACAACAGAUGUAAAAUACAGAGGACCAGAUACACAUAUUGGCUAUUGGCCAAAAGAACUAUUUGAUCUUAUAGCUAAUAGUGUGGAUAUGGUUGGAGUUACGGGAGCAGUCCGGGCUUCAUCAUCUGGUAUAAGUCCGCCGAUGGGUAAUGGUCUUCUACCAACUGAAGAUGAAAAAGCGUCUGCACAUGUUAAAAACCUUGAAAUCUUAGAUUCUGAGUUUAUAGUCCAAGAAAGUAACAAAUAUAAUUUAGAAAAGGUAUUAGAUAACAACAAAUGUUAUGGCUUAAAGGAUGGUAAGAAAGGUAUUUCCUUCAAAGAAUCCAUUUUGUUUACAUAUGGUGGACCUGGGGGAGAUUCUUGUGGAAUCUAGUAGUAACUUGUUGAAUCUAAUUAAUGGUACAAAGUAAUGUUUUCGGUUAUCAUAAUGAAUAAUGAAUAAUUUGGAAUUUAUGUUUCAUAUUCAAGUAUUUAAAUCUUUUAUUUAUGUGUAAAGAAAAUAUUAAAUAUUUGGGAAAAUCGCAUAAAAAAUUUUGAAAGUGUCACUUACUAGCACUUUAAACCUUGAAGUUUUUUCAUUAACACUUUUAACCUUCAAAGCGACAUUUUUAUCAUAAAAAACUUUCAAAGAAGAAAAAUGACCGACUGAACAGGUUAAAAACCGUUUUUUUUUCAAAAAUAAUUAUUUAAUUAAUAAAUAAACAAAAAAAUUGAAAAAUUUAACAAAAAACUCAUAAAUUUAAAAAAAAGUGAGAAAAAUAAAUAAAGAUUUAUAAAAUUAAAUAAAAAAUAGCUAAAAUUCAAAAAUAAAUAAGAUCAAAUUAAAAUACAGAAAAUAAAUAAUAAAUUGAAAAAAAUUGAAAAUUCAAAAAAGUUUUUUUUCAUUUUUCGAAUAUAAUGUCGGAAAUUAUCAUUAGAGAUAUGCCAAAAACCGUCAUUGGAGAUAUGUCGGAAAUGACAGUUUUUGGCAUAUCUCCAAUGAUACGGUUUUUGACAUAUCUCUAAUGAUAAUUUCUGACAUUAUAUUUGAAAAUGAAUGUUGAUCAAAAAAAUAUAUUUGAAAAUGAAUUUUUUUUUUGAAUUUUCAUUUUUCUUUUGAAAUUUAUGAUUUUUUUUUAUUUUUCUCUAUUUUAAUUUGAUCUUAAUAUUUUUUUGGAUUUUUUUUUUAUUUUUUAUUUAUUUUUUUAAAUCUUUAUUUAUUUUUCUCAUUUUUUAAUAUAUGAGUUUUUUUGCUAAAUUUUUUUAUUUUUAUAUAUUUAUUUAUUUAUUUUAUUAAUUAAAUAAUUAUUUUAUUAUAUAAUAUGUUCAUUAUAGAUCAUUUACGAAAUUUAUUAAAUAUUAUUUUCUUAAAUACAAUGGACUAGAUACACAUAUUGGUUAUUGGCCAAAAGAACUAUUUGAUCUUAUAGGUGAUAAUUUCAAUCCCUAAACCACAAAUGUUUGUCUUAAACCUCCAAAUCUAAAAUUCAUGGUAUACUAUGUUUACUAUUUGUUAUUAUAUUAUAGCCUACUAUUAUAUAUCCAAUAUUAAUAUCUUUUUCCUUCGUUGAAAAAAUCAAAUAUCACUAGCUAUUCGAAGAUUUCUAUAAGACUUAUACGAUAUAUGAUUACGUUUAUUUUACGAUUAUUAGCAACAACUUGGUGUAAAAGAUAUUGCAUACGACCUUUACAAUGAAAUAUUAGUGUGUGCAAGCUGUAAACUUUUCUUUUUGUGAAUCUUAAAAAAUGAGUUACAGUUAUUUGGGGUUUUUAAAACGACAUAUUAACGACAUUUAACCAGCAAUAAAAUUACAAUUAUUUUUGAAUCUUUAAAAGUUUCUUAUUUCUUAUUGGCCAAUAUCUUUUUGCAAGGAUUGCUAUCUGCACCCUUGAUUAGUUUUUAAUCUAAUGGUUCAUAUUUAUCCUAUCCCUCCUCCUUUCUCCUUCAGAUUUGUUUUCAGUUUCUUCUCACAUUCUCUCCUCCUUCCACACUUCGAUAAUAUUUUAUUUCUUACUCAUUCGUUUCAUCUCCAUAUUCUUACUCCUAUCUCCACUGCUCAUGGCUCUCCUAUCUCCACCGUUCACCUCAUCCUCUUAUCUCUACUGGUCACCUCACCCUUUUAGAUUCACCGCUCACGGCUCUUCUGCCUCCACCGCUCAUCACUCAAGACUUCCUCCUAUCUCCACCGCUCACAGCUUCUAUCGCCGCUCACUCUCUGGUUCCAUCUCUAGCUAUCAAUCGAGAUUCAAUCCCCUCAGGCUCCGGAAUCCCGCCAAGAGAGACGGUCUUGAAGCGACCGGAGCAAAAUGACGACACUUCAGUCCCAGGCAUACCUUGACGGCGCAAGACAACGAAGUCGCAUGAAGAUUUUUUAUUUUUUUUUAGGUGUAGGUUUGUAUUGUAAUCCAUUUUAUGUUUAAACCGGUUUAGUUUGUUAACCAAAUUUAAUUGUAAACCAGAUUUUAUUUAUAAACUAAUUUUAAUUAUUUAUUUUGCAAACCAAUUCCAUUUCUGUAAUUGGUUUAAUCUGAAAGUUUUUAGUUACAUAAUUUAAAACAAAAUUUUCAAAUACCACAUUUAGGCAUUGCAUCGUUAAUUAUUGACAUUUAGAAAGUGAAGCUAAUUAGCAACAUAUGGGUACGUUGUUACUUAGCAUCAGAAACAAAUGUCGUAAAUAAGUGGCAAAAAAAAAAAAAAAAAAAAACAAAUGUCGUAAAUAAGUGGUAUAUUAGCGUCGACAGGUCGUCGGUUCAAUAUAGGAUCCUCCUAAAUGGACACCCACGAGGUCUCAUUAUGCCACACAGAGGUUUACAACAGGGAAAUCCUUUAUCCCCCUAUUUAUUUAUUUUGUGCACUCAAGCGCUGAUUGCAAAUAUUAGGAAGGCGGAGAGAAAAAAACAGUUAACAGGAAUUAAGGUAGCCAGAGCAUGUCCAUCGGUCUCCCAUCUGCUUUUUGCGGAUAAUAGUUUGUUCUUUUGCAAAGCUCAAAGGGAGGAAUGUCAUACUAUUCUCAAGAUUUUAAAGGAAUACGAGGUGACUUCUGGUCAAUUGAUAAAUUUUGAAAAGUUUUCAAUUCAAUUUGGACAUAAGAUCGAGGACUCGCUCAGGCAGAAGUUAAGAGAUAUUUGGGGUAUACAGAAUUUGGGAGGGAUGAGAUCUUAUUUAGGAUUACCAGAAAAUCUUGGAGCUUCUGAGAUUCGAGUUUUUAGUUUUGUGCAGGAUCGUCUAAAUAAUAGGGUCAAUGGCUGGACUUUUAAAUUUUUCACGAAAGGAGGAAAGGAAGUGAUCAUCAAAUCAGUGAUUACGACACUGCCGAACCAUACGAUGUCUUGUUAUCGUUUGCCUAAGGCAACUGCAAAAAAAUUGACGAGUGCAGUAGCACAAUUUUGGUGGAGUCCUGGGGGCAGUACAAGAGGGUUACAUUGGAAAUCAUGGGACAAGGUAUGUGUCAGCAAGGAAGAUGGACGACUAGGUUUCAAGGAUAUAACUGAUUUCAAUACAGCUAUGCUUGGUAAGCAGUUGUGGAGGCUAAUAGAAAAGCCAAACACUUUAUUAAUUUACGGUUAAAUUAGGAUAUCAAGUAGAGAGGAUUUACCCGGAUAGGGAAAGAUCACCAAUAUUAAUUGGACCUACAGUUGAUGUUUUGAAGGCAUUUUGUUGGAAACUAGGGUGCCCACCAAAAAUAAAACAUUUUCUUUGGUAAUUGGUUUCAGGGUGUGUUGCAGUUAAGAAGAAUUUGCAGGUGCGAGGGAUCCAAGGAGAUAUAUGUUGUGCAAGAUGUAGAGAGGAUGAGGAGUCGAUUAACCAUGUGUUUUUUGAGUGUCCUCCAGCAAUUCAGGUUUGGGCGCUGUCAAAGAUACCAACAAAUCCAAUUAUUUUCCCAACAAGCUCUAUAUUUACAAACAUGGAUCACCUUUUCUGGAGAGUUGUUCCACCGAUGGAGGAUCAUCACUUUGCUUGGAUACUUUGGUACAUCUGGAAAGGAAGAAAUAAUAAAGUUUUUAGUAAUCUGGAUAUGGACCCUAGGGACACUCUUAAGUUGGCAGAAACGGAAUCCACACUCUGGGCAGAGGCACAGAUUUUGAAGGACCAGAACACGGGAACACAGGUUCAUGCAUCUCUGCUGUCAAUUCCUGGAAGAUGGUGUUUUACUGAUGGAUCAUGGAAAGAGGGGGAUAUGUUCUCUGGUCAGGGUUGGUUCAGUACUUUAGAAGGUUUUGAAAGUCUAAUGGGAACCAGGAAUGUAAGAGCUUCUUUAACUCCCUUGCAUGCAGAGAUGGAGGCGCUACUAUGGGCUAUGGAAUGUAUGAAGAAUUUACGUCAAUUCCAGGUUGCGUUUGCAACAGAUUGUUCUCAAUUGGUGAAGAUGGUUUCGGAACCAGAAGAGUGACCAGCUUUUGCAAAAUUCCAUUUCUGUAAACUGGUUUAAUCUGAAAGUUUUUAGUUACAUAAUUUAAAACAAAAUUUUUAAAAUACCACAUUUAGGCAUUGCAUCGUUAAUUAUUGACAUUUAGAAAGUGAAGCUAAUUAGCAACAUAUGGGUACGUUGUUACUUAGCAUCAGAAACAAAUGUCGUAAAUAAGUGGUAUAUUAGUGACGACAGGUUGUCGCUAUAUAAGGACAAAAGAAACACGCAUAGAAAUCUGUCACUAAUUAACGACAUUUUAACGACACGCGAUUAAGGACAUUUAUUAGGAUGUUGUAAAUGCGACUCAAAUCAUGGAUAACGACAUAAAAGGGACGUUUUUGACCGUCAUUAACGAUGUGUUUUCUUGUAGCGAUGGUGGACCGGGGGAGAUUCUUGUGGAAUCUAAUGGUACAAAGUAAUGUUUUCGGUUAUCAUAAUGAAUAAUUUGAACCUCAUUUUUCAUAUAUAUUCAAAUAUUUAACUCUUUAAUCUAUGUUAUGAAGAAUAUAUCGGAAAAAAAAAAGAAAAUAGUCAAGAAGAAGAAUGUAUUGAAGAAAAUACUUUUUUUUUUCUGUGAUCUAUCAGUAUGAUGGUAUCUGCAUCAGGUAUGUAACUUUUUGAUGCAGUUACACUACUACAAAACUGAAGAUACUCGUGGGUUGAAACAAAGAUAUUGUUAUAUAUCAUUUGAUCUUACAAUAUUAUUAUGUUGACUCAAUACUUAAUUUUCAUAAUCAUACAUCUACUCAAUACUUUUUUCUAAGAGGAAAAACUUACUAUAUUUCACAUAUAUAACACAACCAACCAAAGAGAUAGAAGAAGAUGCAUAGAUAUCAAAGAUUUUUAAAUCCUAAUUCAUGUUAACAAGCGUAUGCGAGAUGAUAAUAAAAAAAGGUCAACGGAUAAACACUACAAGAAAACAGCGGUAUUCUGACGGACAUUCCGACGGAAAAUGAAAUUCUCAGAAUAUCCCGAGGAAUUUCCGAGGAAACACAAAAUUUGAUUUCCUCGGAAUUUCCUCGGAAUAUACCGACGGAAUUCCGAGGAAAUACUAAUCCGUCGGAAUAUUCUUAUGGAAUACCGAGAAAAAACGUAUUCCUCGGAAAAAAUUGAUGAAUUCCGAGGAUAUAUUAUAGUCGUUAGAGAGCCGUUGGGGGAUUUUUAAAAUUCCGAGGAAAUUCCGACGAACUAGCCGUUGGCGUCGGAAUUCCGUCGGAAUUUCCUCGGUCUGUCGGUAGGAUUUCAACUAUAAAUACAAGCACCCCUCUUCCUCUUCAUUCACUCCAUAUCUUCAUCCUCCCUCUUACUCUCUUUACACACGAAUUUGAUUCAUAAAAAACAUGUCUUCUUCAAAUUAUUUUCGUUCUUGGAUCGAUCGACCUCAUUUGNNNNNNNNNNNNNNNNNNNNNNNNNNNNNNNNNNNNNNNNNNNNNNNNNNNNNNNNNNNNNNNNNNNNNNNNNNNNNNNNNNNNNNNNNNNNNNNNNNNNAUAUAUAUAUAUAUAUAUCAACGCUUGUCUAUAUGUAAGAAUAAUAGUUAUUUUAUGAAUUAAAUUUUGCUUAUUAUACUUUAAUAUGCUUCAUGAUUUAAUGGUAUUAAGGAAACAUACUUUAUGAUUCAUGGUCUAACAUCAUAAAAGAAAUUAUUUGUAAUCGGUUAGUUUUGUUGUCGAUUAGUCUUUGGUCUAAUAUCAUAAAAGAAUUUGGAUUAUAUGUUGAUAUUUACUAAUGUAAUGGCCAUGUUUAUAUGAGCAAAAAUUUAAAGUUUUCAGGAUUGUGUAUUCUCUCGGAAAGAUAUGUACAAGUUAUCAGCCAAUUCAGAAACGUGAACAGCUGAAACUUUCAUCGCCGAUAUACUUCUGUUUAUAAGAUAAGUAUUUUUAUGCUUUAUAUACAAGUUUAACAAACUUGAUUAGAUAAAUCAAUUUGCAUGAAGUUGGCAGUGAUAUAAAUUUGUUCAUUAAAUUGAUUGAUAGGUUAAACUUUGUUAAAAAGCAUGAGAGUAAUAAUAUAGUUUAUAUAAUAAUUACUAUGAAAGUUUUAUUUAUUUUCUGAUAGAAUAAGACACCUUUGUUAAUACAUAUUUAUAUAUAUUUGAAAUAUUUUGAUUUUAUUACCAUUUAUAUUGAGGAUUUUAAGUUUAAAGCUUGACUCUAAAAGAUCCAUAAGUUUUGGAAGAUAAUAUAUAUAAAAAAGGUAUUAUCACCUGAAGUGAUUACCUAAAGCUCAUUUUGUAUUUUGCAUUUAAAGAUUACAAGACCUGAAAUCGGUAAAUAAAGCCAACUAUGUUGGAUGUUAAGUUUAAAAGUAAAAUUUCUUCAAGAAAUUGUUUUAUGAUGCAUAUAUAUUGAAAAAAUAUCUAUUGAUAAAUCACGUCUAGUUGAUUAUGAUUCAUUCUCCUGAAGAGAAUAUGACAUUUAAAAACUCAUAAAUUGUGGUUUUAGACGUGAGCAUAAAUGAGGUCAAGGUCCAAAGAGUUUCUUUAUAGAACUUAUACUCUCACUUAAAGUUGAGAAAAUAAACAUGGUAAUAAAGAAAAGAAAUUAUGAAUUCAUCUGAAGAUGAAAGAAAAUUUAUUGUGUGUACAAUACAAGGUAGUAAAACUUAUAGAAUGCUUAAAAAGAGGAUAUAUAUGAUGCUCCAGAAGUAUACAUAGUAUUACUGUACAUAAAAAUUUAAUUUAAAGUUCUUAAGAAUGCAAUUUAAAGUUCUUAAGGUAUUGUAUUUUUAUAAGUAUCAAAAGUUAAAAGGAUCUACGAAAAAUACAUAACCCAUGUAGGAUAUGUUGUUGAUUAAGAAAAUGAGAUACAUUCGAGAUUGAUAAACCUGUAGUAUUAUACUCUCGAGGGGAAGAGUUAAAGAAUCUCACUUUUUAUGAUAAGUCAAACAUCCAGAAGAUUAUGUUUACACUAAAACUAAGAUUAAUGAAUUUUUCUCAAAGUAAAUCCGUAAGAUUUUGAGACACUUAUGUUGAGACAAUAAGCAAACGAAAUGAUAUAUACAUUUCAAUCAGAAAUAAUUCUCAAAGCAGUAUAAGUAUUUUAGAGAAAAUAUCUACAGCCUCUUAUAUAUUGUACUACACAAAGAUUAGUAUAAUGAAGAUAAAUGUAUAGUAAACUAGAAGUUUACAUUUGGCAUGAAUCAGUUAGACCAUUUUGGUUCAUUAAUAAUGCGAAUAUAUACUUAAAGGUCAUAUGCAUAGUCAUAUAAGAACCAGAAGAUUCUUCCGAAUGAUUUGACAUAUGUUGCUUACCCAUAAGAUAAAAGGGUAAUAUGGUUUUCACCAGCCAAAAUAAGAUAUUGGCAUAAAUAACGAAGAUGUUAGUGGACUGAUCACCCACUAUGCAUUUUUAUAAUAUUGGUGAAUUCACUUCUUAAAGUCUUUAACGACUAUAGCACAUUCACUGAGAUAAGUGCUAAACAUUUUGAGCAACAUUGGAUCGCAUCAAGCCAAUAAAUUUUUACUAGUUCUCCCCAUCAUUGGUAUAGAAUCAGAAACCAAUCAUUUUCAUCUAAGAAUGUUGGAUGUUGCUCCGCCACAGAGCUUCAAAUGAAGAUGUGUUUUCAAAUGAGGUUGGAAAUAUAUGUUGGAUAUAAAUCUCUAUUGACACUUAAGAAUCCAGAGCCAUCCCCGAAAACUAUAAGUAAGGCUAUACAUGAAUUCUAAAAGUGAGUUAGUACUUCCAACAUAAGGGGGAGAAAAUAAACAGCUGGAAAAGAAAAUAAGUUGAAAUGAAUUAUCAUUGAUCCUCGGGCUAAACACAAUGUGAAAUAGAAGUCCAAAAGAUAAUUCAUUUCAAAACUUACUAAAGCAGUUGCCAGACACGACCCAUAUAAAUAUAGUGAUCAAGUCACAUAUACCAGCUGUAAAUGCUCCAAUAAGAAUAAAUGUUCUACAAGAACAAUAUCAAACUGCUAGUCACGCCUGCAGCGUGGUAGACAGAUUGGUUCCAAAGAUAAAUCCUCGUAAAUGAAAAAGGAGCAUAUAUUGAUAAUGGUCAAAACGAGGCAAUAUAGUUUUGUAUGAUCUCCAGAAGAGAAAUUAAACAUGACUGACGAAAAUUCAGGUACCUGAGACAAAUGAAGAGAUCGCAAUAAGUUAUGUCAUGUAUGAAACAAAAUGGAACCGAUAAGAAAAUUGACGUCGAUGAUAUUAUACAUGCAAAGUAGCAGUUGAUAUAAUAAAUGAGAAAGAGGAUCAUGAAAGAAAGUCUAUUGAAAAGUGUACACAAAGAAAUGAUUGGCCAAAUCAGAAAGAUGCAAUAGACAAAGAUAUAAACUUCUUGUGAAAUAGAGAAGUAUUUGGACCAAUAGUCCAUACACUAAAAGGUGUAAAACAAGUGAGAUGUAAAUGAACUGUUGCACACAAAGAAGGAUCAAUAUGAAAUUGAUUUUGAAGAGACAUAAUUUCAUAUGGUAGAUGCAACUAGUUUCAAGUUCCUUAUAGUCUGGUAAUAAAGGAAGAACUUGAAUAAAACAAUCCACUUGAAAAAUGUUAAUCCCUGAAAGUAUAAUCCAUGAAGGAUUGAUGAUAUCAAAAUCAUGUUCCCGGGAACUCUGCAUAUUCGAUCGAAUUGAAACAAACUAUUUUAUGGGAUAUAUGAAAUAUUAUAAGGUUAACAAAUGUAUCCAUUUGUAUUUAUCAAGAGAUUAUAAAUCAAUAGAAUCAUGAUUUGAAUAUAAUCAAAACUCCUGAAGAGUUAUAGAAAAAUUAUAUUUUGAAAGAAAACUCUUGACAAUACUAUAUUGUUUUUAUGUAUUCUAAACUGGAGAUCUAAAACUGAGAUGUUAUCAUAAAGAUCCUUAAAGUAUUUUAUUUAAGACGCUCGUAUAUGUUUGGUCCUGAAAUACCAUACGUAAGAGUGAUAUUUAAGAAAAUUAUUAAUCUUUUUCAUUACUGAAAGAUGUAAUUUCAUAUGAAAAGAAAGAAAAUCAUAAUAGUAAUUUCUAUAGUUACAAAUGAAUAAUUCGUUUGUACGAGACGAAUUUCUAUACGAUUAUAUGUAAGAAAUUUGGUUUGAAAUCCAAAUAGACUAAUAAACUAUUGUCUAAGUCAAAAGAGAAUUAUGGACAAGAAGUCUAAAGGCCCUUGAUAUCAUAAUAGAAAUGAAUAGAGUUUAUUCUCUUAAGCUUAAUUCUCUGAAGAGAGUUGAUUGGAAUGCAUAUCCUGAAGAUCUUGUUUCCAGGGAAAGAAAUAUGAUAGUAAGUGUGGUUGUACUCUUUUUCCUUAUCAUGGUUUUUUUUAUCCCAUUGGGUUUUUCCAUGACAAGGUUUUAACGAGGCAACAAAGAACAUACAAAAGAUAGACACCCAAAGAGAAUGUUACAAUUUGAGAGAUGAAAAUCUAUCAUUGUUCUAAAGGUUCUAUGACUACUCAUUCGAGAGGGAGCUUACGUAGUUGUACUCUUUUUACUUUUACUACGGUUUUUCCCAUUGGGUUUUCCAUGACUAGGUUUUUAACGAGGCACCACGUAAUACAAGAUGGAUGAUCAAGGGGGAGUGUUAUAAGAUAAGCAUUGAAAUGAUCAUCCACUUCUUUACCAAACUCAAACACUAUGAUCAUCCACUCCUUUACCAACUCAAGCACUAUGAUCAUCUACUCAUCAAGCACUAUGAUCACCCACUCAUUUACCAAAUUAAGCACCAUCUUUGUUAUUUUAUGUAUUGUUGUUCACUAUAAAUACCAUCACUCAUCUCACUCUUUUGUACACCAAAAAAACAAGAACAAGAGUUUAUAAUCAAAGAAUCAUUACAUUUUCUUCUUCCUCCUUAUAAUAAACUCUCUCCCUUAUAUUAGUGUUAUUUGCUUCCUACGGAUAUUAAAUUCUACUCUUAUUUAAAUUUCUCGAUACUGUAAAUUAUAAGUUAUUUCAUAACACUAGGUAAUAUGUCCCUUGAGAACUUAAAAAAAAAUAGGAGACGAUGAGACAAGAAAAAAUAUUAUAGGAGACACGUGGCAGAUAAUAUUUAAAAUAGACGGCUGAGAUUAACUUAGACUCAGAGCCGCUAGAUAGGAAAAACGAAACGUUUUGCAAAUUCGAAGUUGCGCCAUUCAUGUUUUGAAAAUAGCUAACGCCGACCGUUUAGAUUUCUCUCUUUAUCUUCCUUGUCCCAUUUGAUCCCAAAAGUUUUUAAAAUCACUCCUCUCUCAGUUAAUCAGACAGUCUGAAGUGUGUUUUUGCCUCCAAUCUGAGAUUUUUCGUUUGCGAUUUGGGCUUAAUUGGGACCAUUGUGGUCUCCCUAGUUGAGAUCUGAUCGCUUCCGUUUCUGAAGCUCGUCGUCGGUGAGUUCUCUAGUUUCAUAGUUAGAGAUCUCGACCUAGGUCUGAUCAAUCGUAGUAUCUAGAUUGAUUAGGGUAUAUGAUGUCAUAUUUGAAUUGAUUGUCUGGAUGUUCGAGAUGUGAUCCCAAAAAACACCAAUUUGUUGCUGUAAUAAAGUUAAGCUUGGUGUAUGUUUAGUCCUAAUGAUGUAAAUUGACGGAGUGGGGAAUAACUUUGCAGAGAAGAAAGACAGCGCAUGGGAACUGGGGUUACUAUUUUUGCAUUUUUAUUGAAGAGAUAUGGAAAGUGAGUGUGCAACAACUCCUCCUCCUGAUGGGCUUACUGAAGGGAACCCCUCGAAAUCACGUCAAGGGUAUGCUUCUUCUUGUUUUAUAUAACUUUUACUUAAUAAGGUGAAGAAAACCGUUUUCAUGUCCUCUACAUAUCACAUCUAUUCAUGCCCACAUGUUUUUUUGUUUUGUUAUUGUUGUUUCCUUUCUCUUUACCCCUGUUCGUUUUAAAGACGCCCCUAGUGGCGGCAGCGGCCAACAAUUACCCUAUAAAAGAAGAAAAUUCAGAGUUUUAAAGACGCCUCCAGUCGCAAGCUGAUAAUCGGGGGGAAGGAAACCGGAGUUGCCGCUGUCGCUGAUAUUUUCAGCGUUCUCCUUACUGACUUUUAUUUGCCGCAGCGUCGAAAUAAACAAAACGGAUUUGUCUUGACUGUGCUGUGUUCGCCCUAACCGUAGUGAUAAUUCAGAGACGCAGCCGCGUUGGUAAAACGAACAGGGGUUUUGUGUUUAUCUGUUUGAUUUACUAGGUUGUAAUGUUUGGCCCUAUCUAGAACUGAGUUGCAUGACAAUCAAUAUGUGUUUUGAUUUUAUAGGAGGACUAGUGGCCCAACUAGACGUUCUACUCGAGGUCAAUGGACGGCUGAAGAGGUAUAGUUUCAUGAUUCCUUCAGCUUUUAUUUUAAAAACAUUUUUUACCAGUGCCGCUUGAUUCAAUUGGUUAAUCUGGUUUCAUUUGCUUGAUGCAUGAAACAAAGUCCACCCUGUGUGUGUUCAUUUGCAUGAUAUCAUUGAUCAUGCUACAUAAUAAUUACUUGUUCUUUAUACCUAAAAUGCAAUUUUUCUUAGAUUAUAUCUAUGUAAUGCACUAAAGCAGAGACACACAAGAAGUGGCCUUUUCAAUUGUGCGUUUCGUCAUUCUUUGAUCUGCAUAUUUGAUCAUUUGUUGACCUUGCAGGAUGAGAUUUUGAAAAAGGCUGUCCACAAUUUUAAAGGCAAAAACUGGAAGAAGAUAGGUAAAAUUUCACAAUUUGACAUAUACUUUGCUGACGUUUCUUUGGCUAAUUCGAUCUCACAUCUUUGCCUGGUCUGCUUUUUCUUAACUUCCAGCUGAAUAUUUCAAGGAUCGAACUGAUGUCCAAUGCCUCCACAGGUGGCAGAAGGUCCUUAAUCCUGAACUUGUUAAAGGGCCGUGGACAAAGGAGGUGACACAUCUUUUUUCUUCACUACUUUUAUAUCUGCUUCUUGCGUACUUAACCCUAUUGGCUUUAUACUUCCUAAACAUCCUCUAUGAGUGCUUAUUGCUCUCAUUUGACAUGUGUGUAGGAAGAUGAUAUGAUUGUUCAGUUAAUCCAAAAAUAUGGGCCGAAGAAGUGGUCCACUAUUGCUCGGUAUUUACCUGGCCGUAUUGGAAAGCAAUGUAGAGAGAGGUAUGCUUAUAUGUACUGUUCUCUAUAAACAACAGUGUUUUAUUAAGCACUUGAAAGCUUUUCAAUCUCUAGAUUUUUCAAAAGGGUGUGAUUGAUCUCAAUAGGUGGCAUAAUCAUCUCAAUCCUGCCAUAAACAAGGAAGCUUGGACUCAAGAAGAAGAGCUGGUUCUGAUUCGUGCUCAUCAAGUCUACGGUAAUAGAUGGGCAGAGUUAACAAAGUUCUUGCCUGGAAGGUACUAAUAUUUUUACUGUCAUAAGAUAACCGUGCAUCUCUAUUUGUUCUAGCAAUUUAUUUUGCGUUGCUAUGUUAUCAACAGGUCUGACAAUGGAAUCAAAAACCACUGGCACAGUUCAGUUAAGAAGAAACUAGAUUCCUAUAUGUCCUCUGGCCUUUUGGAUCAGUACCAAGCCAUGCCUCUAGCUCCUUACGAGAGAAGCUCCACGUUACAAUCUAUAGAUGGUAAUGGCUGCGUAAGUGGACAGGCGGGGAAAGAAGUAGAAAACUGUCAGAUUUCAACCCUGGCUAGCUGCUCCAUAUCUGCAAUGGAUUAUCAGAAUGGAAUGAUAAACAUGGAGCAUCACUUUCACCCCUGUGGAAACUCUCACAAGAAUGAGUAUUAUUAUCCGGAACUGGAAGAUAUCUCGGUCUCCAUCUCAGAACUCUCUUAUGAAAUGGAGGACUGUUCACAGUUCCCUGAUCAUAAUGUCUCUAGCCAGGAUUGCCAUUUUGAUUUUCAGGAGCUGUCGGAUAUUUCACUUGAGAUGAGACAUAGUAUGUCAGAGUUACCAAUGCCAUACGCCAAGGAGAGCAAGGAAGCUUCUCUGGGAGGUCCAAACUCCACAUCAAAUACAGAUGUGGCUACUUACACCAACACAGCAAACGUUUCUGAAACAGAAUGUUGCAGGGUUCUUUUCGUUGAUCAAGAGAGUGAAGGGCUCAGUGUUUCUAGAUCUUCUACUCAAGAACCAAACGAGGUUUCUUCAACAAAAUCUCCUAUGCAGACCUCUUCUUCAAAGUCUAUUGCAACAGCUGCUUCAGGCAAAGAAACUCUCCGGCCGGCUCCUUUGAUCAUAUCACCUGAUAAGUAUUCCAAGAAGUCAUCUGGAUUGAUAUGUCAUCCUUUUGAGGCAGAACCAAACUCCAGGACAAAUGAAAAUGGUGGCUUCAUAUGCAUUGAUGGUCCAUCAUCAGCGCCUAAUAACUCCAGCGAAGAAGAUCAAUCAUAUCAUUUGAAUGAUUCCAAGAAGUUGGUUCCAGUGAACGACUUUACUUCUCUAACAGAAGUUAAGCCACACUCUCUUCCUAAGCAUGAGCCAAUGGAGCAGCAUCAUGAGGAUACGGAAGCAUCAUCAUCAAGUCUCUCUUUUCCAAGCUUGGACCUACCUGUCUUCAACAGCGAUCUCUUACAGUCCAAAAACGAUCCGUUGCACGACUAUAGCCCUCUUGGCAUACGCAAGCUGCUGAUGUCCACCAUGACGUGCAUGAGUCCCCUUCGGCUGUGGGAAUCUCCCACUGGUAAAAAGACGUUGGUCGGUGCGAAGUCAAUCCUGAGGAAACGCACACGUGAUCUCCUGACGCCGCUGUCUGAGAAGAGAAGUGAUAAAAAGCUUGAGAUUGAUAUAGCAGCCAGUCUUUCAAAAGAUUUUUCACGUCUGGAUGUGAUGUUUGAUGAGAUUGAGAGUCGAGAAGAUUCAAUGUCUCUUGAAAAACCAGAGCAAUCUUGCUUGGAUGCAAGUGUCAAGGAGAAGGGUGUUGAAAAUGUAAGUCUCUUCUUUCCUUUAAGAAUUUAAAAGGCUGUUGAGUUAUCAAUCUUCAUAUGAAACUUGGUUGUGAGUAAGUACUUGGUUUGAUUAUGAAUCUGGUUGGUAGACUUCAUGUCAUGGUCAUCUAACCGUACAUAAUAGAAUGGUUUUGCUUUCUCAAAUUAAUUCACAUUCAUCAUUUCGUUUCUGUGCAUUUUUUUUUUUUUACCUGUCAUGUUAUAAACAGUGAACGGAUAAAACGUUAUGCAGGUCGAAAGUUUAUCUGGUGUUCUUUCUGAGAACAAUAAUACCAACAAGCAAGUACUGUCUCCUCCUUCUCAAUCAGUAACCAAAACAGAGAAAGCACAGGUUUCAACACCAAGAAAUCAUUUACAUUCUUCUGCAAGUCUUUGUUUGGUAAUAAAUUCGCCUUCUCGCGCGAGAAACACCGAGGGUCAUCAUGUUGACAACGAGACACGCAAUGAGAAUUUCAGCAUGUACAUAUACUACACACCUUCACUUUUUUUUAUAUUUUUCCAUUUUUGCUUUCAGUUGUUGCUAUAAUGAAUUUUGCUUCUUCUCUGUUUACAGUUUCUGUGGAACUCCAUUCAGGAGAGGUCUUGAAUCUCCCUCGGCGUGGAAAUCACCGUUUUACGUAAACUCUCUCUUGCACAGCCCAAGGUUUGACACAGAUAUAACUAUCGAGGUAUCUCAUUAUUAGGCUCCUUCCGUUAUAUAUUCAACCUCUUGCAUGCAUGCAUUGCCAAAUUCUUUUAGCCCAUAUAUAAAAUGGCAGUUUGUGCUUGUUUCUUUCCAGGACAUGGGCUACAUUUUCAGCCCUGGGGAGAGAAGCUACGGGAGCAUAGGACUUAUGACACAGAGAAAUGAGCUUACGAGUGCGUUUGCAGCAUUCGAUGCCAUGGAGGUCUCACUUUCAGCAAGUAACUAUGAUGAUGCAAGGAAGAUGAAGGAAUUGGAUAAAGAGAAUAAUGAUCCUCUUCUCGUAAAAUAUAUACUCCCAUUAAUCAUUCACUCUCUAAGUAAAUUCUAUGAUUUUAGAAACGAAAUAAAAAUGUUUUUCUUUCCAUCUUUAUAGGCGGAGCGUCGAGUGCUGGACUUCAACGAUUGCGAGUCUCCCACCAAAGUAACAGAAGAAGCCUCAUCCUCUUACCUCUUGAAAGGAUGUAGGUAAAAAGGCCAGGAACCUCGAUACAUAAUAUUCAUUGCACGUAUAUGCAUCUUCUAUAAACAGACUCUGUCCCCUGGUUGGAUCAAAUUCUCUGUUUCUUCUUCUUUUAAUGGAUCAGCUUGAAUGAAUUUAUGUAGAUACUGUGUAUUCAAUAUAAUAUAGUAUAUACAUCCCUCAUAAUUGCCUGCAAUGAGUAUGCAUGUCCAUAUACUUGGAACUUGCAAGCAAUGAGCAUGUCCAUAUUUUUUUGAAGCAAUACACGUGCAUAUGGAGUAUAUACCAACUUUUUAACUUCAACGACCAGUAACAACAUUCUUAUUCUAUGUUAGGUUCCAUAAGCUAGAAACCCUUAAAAGAUAGAACCAAAAAUUGAAAAUUGGUUGCUGUCUACAAAGUUACAUUGAGAAUGUAAAUAGUAGAAGAGGCACAAAACUCUCUUGCCUACUUUAUUAACCCCUGAGAUGAAAUAACAAUAAUAUUAGUGACAAUUAACUUGUCACUGCCGGAAAUACUGAAAGAAGGUAAGAUUCUUUAUUAUCACCAUGUAACCGUGGUGGUGGUGUGAGAUGUCUCAGAGGGCUUUGGUGACAACGGCAUGGAUAGCGUCUGCAAGGUGCGGUACAGUCUUCGAGCUCAGACCAGCCAUACUUAUCCUCCCGUCGGAUGUCAUGUAGAUGUGGUACUCUUUAGUCAUGUAGGAGACUUGAGCUGGGUUUAGCCCUGUGAAGGUAAACAUACCGAUCUGUUUGAUGAUGUGAGUCCA